AUAACGAGAUGAUAAUAUAUGCAACGAUAGUGCUUCCAAAGAACAUGACCACAGUGAGCCACGUGUGGCAAGAAGGUCCUGUACGUGGUGACAAUCACCUCGACAUGCAUCCUCUAGGAGGCGACAAUGUCAAAUCAAUGGGUACUUUGGACCUUCUUUCCGGGAAAGUUACGACUACCAAAGGAGGAACCUCGGGUACUCUUCACUUCAAGCAGGUUCAUGGAAUCAUAAACGCGGUUAGUUGGGGCUUCUUGAUGCCAGUGGGUGCUAUUACUGCCAGGUACAUGAAGGUCUUCCAAUCAGCUGAUCCCGCUUGGUUUUAUGCUCACAUCAUAUGCCAAUCCUCGGCUUACUUACUUGGUAUUGCCGGAGCGGGGACAGGAAUUUAUCUUGGCAACAAAUCUCAUGGCAUUCAACAUUCCACUCACAGGACUAUUGGGAUACUACUUCUCGUUCUUGGCUUCAUUCAGGUUUUUGCGUUGAAACUGAGACCAAAGAAGGAGCACAAGUACAGAAUUUGGUGGAAUUUUUACCACCAUUCUGUCGGAUACGCCAUCAUAAUAUUAAGCAUCUUCAACAUCUUCGAGGGUUUUAAUAUUUUGAACCCUUUGAAGAUUUGGCGCUUGGUUUAUGCUUGUACUCUUAUUGCAUUGGGAGCCAUUGCCGCUAUUUUGGAAGUAGUAACUUGUGUCAUUGUAAUAAGGCAGCGGAGAAAGAUUGAGAAUCCUGAAACCAAUGUCAGAGCAGCAGCAUGAAGUUUUAGCGUUGUAGUAUAUAGAUUAAGAUUUACUGAUUUUUUCUGCAAUUUUGUUUAAAUUUUCCCACAUCAAUUAGCGAAAUAAAAGCAUUAUUAAUAUUUUUUGGUACAAAUUAAUUUGUACAUAAUUGCAUGUAACAUUAGCUCGUAUAUUACGACUAGCAUACAUGUUGAUUUUUUUUUAAAUGUCGGGUAAUCAAUUAGAAGAGGCACAUUAGAUUAUACUGUUUGUCUUAGCUAAUUACAUGAAUGUUUACUUUGACUAAUACUAGUUCCAUAGGACGAGGAAUUUUUUAAGGGGAUAGAUCUUUCUCAAUGGAAGCUAUCGUAUGAGGUUUAGUAAAUGUUUAAAUGUCCUUGAAAUACGUAAUUGCGGAGAGUAAUCUCUAAAUUAAUUAAACUUCUUAACAAUAUUCUUCUCAAAUUCAAAAGUUGGAAAUUAUACAAUAACAUGUGUUUGUAAUUGGUACAAUAUAUUUUCUUUCAUUUUUUUAACAACUAAUCAAAUACAAAUCUCCUUGAUAAGUCAUCUCUUACAUCUUGCUCUUGUUUUCUUUUAACUUCUAUAUGCUUUUCAAUUUUUUUCAUUCCCAUGCUUCGACGGAAGCAAUUAGCAUCCUGUACUCUUUAUACUAUUCUCAAGUCAAAUUGCAUUUGUAAAUUGUAAUGUUUGGACUGAUUAAUUGAGAAACAUUUAUCACAAACAUAUUGCCCAACUUGCUUCCGAAAUUUCUUUCGACCUUAACCACCACUCUUCCUUGAUCAUUGUUGUUUCCAGUGGCGGAGCCACCGAAGGCCCAAAGUGGACAGCUACCUCUCUGCAUCUAUUUUUUUUUUAAUUCAUUUUUUAAACCCACUCAUUUUUUGGCCAAGUCAUGGGGCUGAUAGCGGCGGCAAAGAGCAUCGUUGCAAGGUUGGCAUUGCUACCAAUGUAGCUAGAAUUUUCAGGGGUUGGAGCCGUCAUGGUUUUGGAUUGCCGGUGACCAUGGGACUGUUCACGGACAUCUUGAGAAGGUCGGAGCAGAUAUGGUGGCAGAUCGAGAGCUCGAAGGCUGACUCAUUUUGUUGUUAUUAGUCAAUCUGGUCACGUAUGACUUAGGGAGUGACAAAUCAGAGUUGGGGAGAACUUGAGAUUGUUGAAGAGGAUGCAGCAGUGCCGAUCUAUUUGGAUGCGAGAACCGUGAGUUUGGGUUGUUAUUUGGCUGCGUUGGUGAUGUUUUUGAUGACAGGGCUAUAUUAAGAUGAGUAUGGGAUGGUGACAGAGGAUUAAAAAUGAUUUUAGAAGCAGCCAAGGUGGUGGCAGCUGCGGCAGAAUUGAUGGAGGGAGAAUACCGAUAGUUUGUUUUGCUUUUUUGGGUUUGGUGCGCCUGAGUUUGAUUUUGCCGGAUAGAGAAUUGGUCGCUGGCAAAUUGGGGAGGUUCCGGUGGCUGUUGAUCAUCACUAACAGCCGCCGAUGAAGCCAUAGCGGCUGAUCAAAGGUUCGUUCAAUCAUAAUGAUGGUGGUGGUCACUGUUUUGGGUUUCGCUCUAUAAAGUUUUUCAAGAAUUAAUCAGUAGCGGCUCCUGCUUGGAUCAAAUAUGUUGCAGCUAUAUUCAAGAAUUAAUCAGUUCGAUCCUGCAUGGGGGCAAUUUCAGAGUUUAUUGUUCAACCUCUUGUAAUCAUAUAUCAUAUGCAAUUAUUUUUAAUUAAUUAGUAUUACAACAAUAUAAAUUUUUUGCGAUGGUUCAUUCGAUCUAUUUUCAGUAGCAUUUAGAUUAAUUCAUAUUAAUCCGAUAUAAUCAUCUGAUCCGAAUCUGAUCCGAACUUAAUUGGAUUAGAUUUAAUUUCGGAUUAUAUCCAAAUAGUUUUUAUCCCAAUACAAACAAUCUGAAAUCCGAUCGGAUUGAUCCGAAUCCAUUUUUACCCACCCCAAACUACUGUUAUUGCCAGAAGGUGGAUGCCCCCAAUUUAUUGUUUGUCUCUUCGGAGACAUCCGAUAAAAUUGGAACGAUACCGAGAAGAUUAGCAUGGCCCUGUGCAAGGAUGACAUGCACAAAUUGAGGAAUACAACUUUAUCGUUGAUCUGAAAAAAAAAAUUGAUUAAUAUUUAUGAGUAAUCUAAAUAGUAAUAAGGUAAAAGGAAGAGGCCCAAGGCGUGGGAAGAGUGCUUUUCAAGUAGUUUUAUUUUGUUAGCUACUUGAAUUCAAAUCCUAAGGCAGCAAGAAACAACAAUGUUGUAAACUUUGUCUAUUCCUCAACCUCUGAAGAAAAAAAAGCUAAAAAAAGAAGGAUGAUUUAUUAUGAAAAUAAUCAUUUUCAUCAGUCCAUGUUCUAUUUAAAAAGAAAAAAUUUGGAUAAAUACCAUAUUUUCUAUUCAAAUAAAAAUGUCUAACAUAAAUGUUAAAAAAAUAACCGCCCCAACCCCCACAGAUCCUCCAUAUAAAACAACAAUUUGAUUCAUAUUUUGGAGAAGGUGAAGGAGAAACUAAUGUGUGCUAAUAAAUAUUGCCUUGAAAUUGUUAUUCAAAUCAAUUUAUAACUCUAAAAUAGUUUUAUUAUUUGAAUCCUUAACACUCACCUAUCUUAGAUACAAGCAAAACAUCAUAGUAUUUGAUAUUUUACCAGAACAAAUAUAAAUGGUUUAUAAAGUAGAAAAUAAUAAAUGAGUGAAAGUAAUUUUUGAAAAAUAUAUAAAAAAUAAUUCAUACUUGAGACAAAAAAUAUAUAAAAAAUAAUAUUGGUCCCUAGUUUGUCAGAUUAUGUCUAGAGCCGUCCAAUUUGUAUAAUAAGGUAACACAAUUUACCACGACCCCAGUGUUAAAAAAAGAAAAAAAAAUCUGAAACCGACCAUGUAUAGAGUCAUUAAUCUCCCAUAGACUUCAGCAAAUUUUAUCAUAAAUCAUCAAUUAUGUUAAUAAAUAAGAUAUCAUCUCAACAUUAAUCGUAAAAAGUAGUGGAUACUAUGAUGGUUCAUAUUUCAUAGUUUUCUUAUGUUUUAUCGAUCAUAAUGUCAUAAAUUCACUAUAAGUCUGUAGGGUCUAUCUCACUUCGGUGGACUAAAAUGCCCAAAAAGUCCAAAAUAAUUUACUUGGUGUGUAAUUAUUGUAAAAUUUUACAUUUGGAUGAAAUUAACCAAAAAAUAUAUAAAGGAAAUAAGUGAAGAAUCGCGAGAGCUGUAGGCAUUUCACGAAUUGAGGAGGCAUUACGAGAGAGAAAGAUUUCUUUGGGGUUUCAAUCUUUGAUUCAACGAUCGGAAGGUGAUUUUAGCUCCGAUUCAUCCCAAAUUUGGAGGAUAAGUACUUGACAUCGCCCUCUACAUUUCCACUGGUGUUGAUCUAUAUUUUAUUAUCUCUAUAGCUGUUGUUUGAGAUACCCACUUAUUGGAGAAAUAAAUUUUAGAUCUAUUAUUGUAAGCCAACAUUGUUGAGAAUUUUGAUGUUGUUAUCCUCUAGUGUUGAUAGAAAACUAAAGUAAUAGUGUUUGGCAGUCGAGAAAGCUAAAGAAAAUAAGAGAAAGAGAAAGAGAUUUUCAUUAUAGAAAAUUUCAGAAUAUACUCAAUCAUACGUUGUGAAUGCAGCUUACACCCACUUAUAUAUUCAAGCAUAGGUGUGCUUGUUACAAUUCGUUAGCCAAGUUAUUAUAGACACGUGAGAGCUAAUACUAAUAACUAACUAAUCCACGUCAACUUAAGUGAGCUGAUUAGCUACUGUCAAGCACAUGAUAACAAUAUGAAUACGACUGCUCUGCUUCUUCUCAUUUAAUCAGCUUUACUAACAUCCCCUCUUGAACUGGAUUUCUCUUUUUGUCAUGUCUACUCUGAUCUUUCUCAUUUCACCUCAUUUGACUAGCUUUGCUAACAUCCCCUCCUGAACUAGAGUCUCAUCACUUCUUUUCCUCUUCUUGUCUUACUUCAUCAAUGUCACUGACUUCCCUUCUGAAACUGGAGCAUCUAGGAUGAACAUUUAACUUACUGCGCAAGUAAUGAAAUUGAGCAAAAGUAAGAGCCUUGGUCAACACAUCUGCUGUUUGAUCUUCACUGGGCACAUAACACACUGUGAUUUCUUUUGAAGCAACUAUGUCUCUGAUAAAAUGAAUAUCCAGCUCUACAUGCUUUGUUUUUGCAUGAUACACUGGAUUGUAGGCUAAAGCAAUUGCACCUUGGUUGUCACACCACAUAACUGGGGUUGUGCUCAGCUUGAUUUGAAUUUCAGCAAGUAAAGAUUGAAUCCUGAAAUUGCCACUGAGAAAGCAUGGUUGUUUUGAACCUAGCAAACCAAGCUCGUGGAGCCUGCUUCAAGCCAUAUAAUGCUCUCUUUAACUUGCAAAUGUGUUGUGGUUUAUGAGAAUUGAUAAACCCCUCAGGUUGUGCCAUAUAAACUUCUUCAUCUAGAAUGCCAUUUAAAAACGCAUUGUUCACAUCUACUUGUCGAAGCACCCAAUUAUUCAUAACUGCAAUGCUUAAAACAACCCUGACAGUAGAAGCUUUAACCACUGGACUAAAGGUUUCAGUAUAAUCAACACCAUGAAUCUGAUGAAAACCUUUAGCCACCAGCUUUGCUUUGUACUUUAAAAUAGAGCCAUUAGGAUUAUAUUUUAUCCUAAAGAUCCAUUUAUUGCCAACAACCUUAACAGGAGCAGUAGGUAACACCAAUUCCCAUGUAUGAUUAGCUUGCAAAGCUCGGAACUCUUCUUGCAUAGCCUUGAACCAUAAUGGAUCAGAUAAAGCUUGAGUGACAGAAUAAGGUUCAGAAGGUUGAGCUAAAAGGGCAGUGAGAUAAGACUUGGGUUUGAAGAUACCAAGCUUAGAUCUAGUUAGCAUAGGAUGACCCAUAGGAGGUGGUGCAGGGAGAAUAUGUGGUGGGUUAUCAUUUAAGGAAGAGAAAGAGUGCUGUUGAGAAAGGGAUGUAUCAUUUUGAUUAGGUAAAUUAUUUGAAGUUGAGGGCAAAGAAAAAGAGGGAGAUGAUACCUGAGGUUGAGAAGUAGUUGAUACUGGAGCUGCUGAAUCAAAUGCUGAAGUUGUUGCUAAAGGAGCUGGAAUUCGAAUAACAGAAGAAGAACACUCAGAGACUGUUUGAGAAGACACUGGUACGGAAGAGAAAUCAAUACCAGAAACAUAAGGAAAAUACUUCUCAUCAAAGAUCACAUGAUUAGAAAUGUAGACUCUUCCAGAUGAUUGAAGACACUGGUAACCCUUAUGACUGGAGCUGUACCCAAUGAAAAUACAUUUGCCAGACCUGAACUCAAACUUGUGUCUAUUAUAAGGUCUUAGAUAUGGAAAACAGGCACAACCAAAAAUUCUAAGACUAGAAUAAUCUGGUUUCUGAUUGAAGAGCUUUUGAUAGGGUGAGAUGUUGUUUAGAACUGGUGUGGGAAGUCUAUUUAUCAGAAAAACAGUAGUGUGGAAUGCAUUCCACCAGAAUUUGAGAGGGAGAUGUGCUUGGGCAAGUAAGGUAAGUCCAAUAUCAACAAUAUGUUUGUGUUUCCUUUCAAUCAUCCCAUUUUGGUGAUGAAUAUAUGGACAAUGAUGCCUAAAUUGUAUCCCUGAAUUAUUGAGGAAGGAAGAAAAUGAUCUAAAUUCCCCACCCCAAUUGGUUUGAAUGACUUUGAUUCUCUUGUGUAGGUGUUGUUCAAUAAAAGUUUUAAAUUUGAUAAACAAUGGGAGUGCAUCAGACUUAGAAUUAAGGGGAAAUAUCCAAGUAAACCUACUAAAAUCAUCUAAAAUGGAUAGAUAGUAAGCAAAACCUUGGGUUGAAUUAACAUGAGAGGGUCCCCAAAGGUCUGCAAAAAUCAAUUGCAAAGGUUCUGUAGAUCUAGACUGAACAGAGUUAAAAUGAAGCAUAUGAUUCUUACCAAAUUGGCAAGCAUCACAGAAGUCUAAAUUUUGAAUUUUAUUAACACCAACAAAAUUAUUACAAGAGUUCAAGACUGUUUUCAAAACAUGAAUGGCAGGGUGCCCCAAUCUUCUAUGAAGAAGAUUUACAUCAACAGCUUUUGUAUUAACAACAGACAUAUAAGACUCUUUAUUUUCCUGUGAAAAUUUUGAGCUAGACAUUUCACAGGCUGAAUAUGGAAGACAAGCAAACAAAGACUGAAGUUUAUUGUGACCAAGAUAGACUGAAUUGACAGCAACAGACUGAGAAUUUGAAGUAGGACUUUGAACUUUAUAGAGACCUCCUUUAGCAACACCUUCAAGCAAUACGAUCCCUGUGCUCCUGGCCUUAAUGAGACAAGAAAGGCCAACAAAUUCAAUUGUAACAUUAUUAUCCGCAAGUAAUUUUGAAACACUGAGUAAGUUUUUGGUGAUUUUAGGCACAUGUAAUACAUGAUUAAGGGUUAAUAACAGAAGAGUGUUUGUAGCAAGCUUAACUGAUCCAACAUGUUCAAUAAGCAAUGCAUUACCAUUACCAACAAAUAGUUGUUCAGUUCCAACAUAAGCUUUAGGAUUAGCAAGCUUACCUAGAUCAUUCGUGAUAUGAUUAGUUGCUCCACUGUCAAUAUACCAGGAAGGAUCUUCAAUGAUCUCAGGAUUUACAGCACAAGUAGCUUGAGCUUGAGCUGGUGGUGCUGAAGUAUUAGGCAGUCCAUUAGUGACAUUCCCAGGAAAAUAUGGAGAAACACCAUAAGUGAAACCAGGAGUAAAAGUGUUAUAGGGAUUAAAAGGUGUGUAGCCUGAUAUGAAACCAGGAUCUGAGUAAGCCAUAUUGGCUUGAAAAGCUGCUCCUCCUCUUGGCAUAUAAGGAUUCACAAAAUUUUGUCCAGGAAACAUUAAACCUCUGCCAAAACCAUUGAAUGACCUGCCUCUGCCAUAUUGACCUCUGAAAUUUCCUCUGCCAAAAUUCUUUUGAGGAACAAAUGAAGGAUUAAAAUUGUUUCUGCAUUUGUUUGCUCCAUGUCCAGGAAUGAAGCAGAUUUGACACAAAAUAUCUGAAGAGUUUCUAGCACCAGCAAACUGAGGAAUAUUGUUGUUCUGAAAACCACUGUUAUCAUUUCCAAAACUACCUCCAGUGUUUUUUUGAUAACCAUUAUUAUUUUGGCCAGAAUAUUGACCUUUCUGAGCAACAUUUGCAGACAUAUGAUGCAUGACUUCACUAACAAGUUUCCCUUUCUUUUGUUCAAUUCUAUUUUCAUGAUUAAGAAGCAGAGAAUACAAAUCAUCUAGAGUAAUAGUUCCUUCCCUUGCUAGAACUGCAGUUAUCAAAGAUUCAUAAUCUGAGGAGUCAAGACCAUUCAGCACAUGCAUAACAAAAUCAUUAAGCUCAAUUGGUUUCCUUGCUAAGGCUAAGGUAUCUGCUACACGUUUUAUCUUAGCAAAAUAAUCAGCCAUACUCAUAGAUCCUUUCUUAACAGUUUGAAUUUGCAUUCUAAGAGUUUGAAUUCUAGCUUGUGAUUGAGAAACGAACAUACUGCUAAGUGCUUCCCACAGUUGUUUUGAAGUUGUACAGUCAAUUACCGUAGACAGUAGACUUUGCUGAAUAGAGGACAUCAUCCAACUCAAGAGGAGUUGAUCUGUUUUCAUCCAAGCAAUGAACUCUGGAUUUACAGAUCUGGACUCACUAACAUCUAAUCCUGAAGCUUCUUCAGUGUUGAAGGAUGAAAGAAACUUCUCCGGACACUUUCGAUCACCAUUAACGAAACCUUCAAGACCAUUCCCUUUGAUCGAUGUCAAGAUUUGAGUCCUCCACAAAAUGAAAUUGUUUUGAUCCAGCUUAACUGGUGUAAUGAAGCUAAAAGAAGCAGUGGAUUGUGUAAUAUUUGCCAUUGUUUGCUCUGAUACCAUGAUAGAAAACUAAAGUAAUAGUGUUUGGCAGUCGAGAAAGCUAAAGAAAAUAAGAGAAAGAGAAAGAGAUUUUCAUUAUAGAAAAUUUCAGAAUAUACUCAAUCAUACGUUGUGAAUGCAGCUUACACCCACUUAUAUAUUCAAGCAUAGUUGUGCUUGUUACAAUUCGUUAGCCAAGUUGUUAUAGACACGUGAGAGCUAAUACUAAUAACUAACUAAUCCACGUCAGCUUAAGUGAGCUGAUUAGCUACUGUCAAGCACAUGAUAACAAUAUGAAUACGACUGCUCUGUUUCUUCUCAUUUAAUCAGCUUUACUAACAAGUGUUAUCUGGAGAAGAAUUUGUGCUGUAAUCCCAUUAAGAUAGUGAAAGUUUAUAUCAGACUACGGUCUCGUGAUUUUUCCCGAUUUGGAUUUUUCAUGUAAAAAUCGGUGUCUCUUAUGGUUGGUUUUUGCUUUGGGUUUAUUAGUUUAUUUUUCUGCAUAUUUAUUUGUGGUGCACAUCCUAUUUUAAUCACACAAAGAGGGAAAAAGUUUUUGUUUCCGCUUAAUUUAUAGCUGUUUGUGGUAGUCCCUUUCCCAACAGAGUGGUAUCAGAGCGAGGUUGUGUGUUUUAUUACUUGUGUGAUUGAGAUGGAUGAGUCUUCGGUGUUCAUGAUCAAAUUGAAGUCGUGGAAUUAUGGUAUUUGGAAAUCUAGAAUGGAAGAUUUGGUCUACAUGAAAGACUUACAUGAACCUAUUGAAGGUGACGAAGUUAAACCUGCUGAUAUAGAUGAUAAUAAAUGGGCUCAAUUGAACCAGAAGGCCAUGGGUACUAUUAGGUCAUGGAUUGAUCAGAGUGUGUACCACCAUCUCGCGAAGGAAUCCAAAGAUGAUGUUCUUUGGAGAAAAUUAGAGACAAUUUAUGAGCAGCCGACAACACAAAAUAAAGUUAAUCUGAUGAAAAGGCUUGUUAAUUUGAAAUAUAAGGAAGGCCGCAGUACAACUGAACACACUAGUGAGUUUCAAGGCUUAGUUGAUCAGUUGACUACUAUGAAGAUCAUUUUAUAUGAUGAGUUACAAGCACUGUUUUUGCUUAGUUCUUUACUUGACAGUUGAGAGACAUUAGUGGUGUCAGUGAAUAAUUUAGCACUAAAUGGUAAAUUAACCUCGGAUAUGGUUACAGAUAGACUGCGGAAUGAAGAAUCUCGAAGAAAGAAUGCUGAAGUAGUUCCCUCAGAGUCAACUGCACUUAUUUCAGAGAACCAAGAAAGACGAGGGAGGAGUCAAAGUAGAAAUUUCCAUCAGCAGAAUAAUGAUAACACUAGAGGAAGAUCUAAAUCCCAAAGGAGAAACAUGAAGUGCUUUCACUGUCAGAAAAUGGGUCACGUUAAAAGGGAGUGUAGAUUGUGGAAAAGAGAACAGGCGAAAGAAAAAGGCGAUAGUUAUAAAAAUGACAAAGAGAAUAUUGCAGUCGUAGUUGAUGGUGAUAUGGGUAUUGUUUAUGAUGAUAGCUCUAUAAAUCUCACUUGCCAUACCAGUGAUUGUGUGAUUGAUUCAGGUGCUUUCGUUCAUAUUACUGCACAUCGUGAUUACUUUACAUCCUAUAUUAAUGGUGAUUAUGGCCAUGUACGAAUGGGAAAUUAAGGGGCAUCCAAGAUUGUAGGCAUUGGAGAUAUUUGCUUGGAAACCAGUGUUGGUUGUAAGUUACUCCUUAAAUAUGUCAGACAUGUACUAGAUAUUUGCCUUAAUUUGAUCUCCACAGGAAAACUUAAUGAUGAUGGUUAUACUAACCAAUUUGGUUAAGGAAAAUGGAAGCUCACCAAAAGCUCUUUAGUGUUGGCUAAAGGAAAGAAAAUGAACACUCUCUACGUAAUAGAAGCCAAUACCAAGAAAGAAGAUGUGAAUGUAGCUGUAAAAGAUCCUGACAUUGAAACAUGGCAUAAAAGACUUGGUCACAUCGGUGAGAAAGAGUUAGAAACUCUUGCCAGAAAAGGAUUUCUACCAAGUUUUGCAGGUACGUGCCUCAAGACUUGUAUUCAUUGUUUAGCUGGAAAGACACAUAGAGUAGCUUUUAAAAGUUAUUCUCCAUCUAGAAAGUCGCAAAUCCUUGAUUUGAUUCUCACUGAUGUUUGCAUAAUGCAAAGUAGAUCAAUAGGAGGUGCACUUUACUUUGUGACUUUUAUUGAUGAUUGUUCUAGAAAAGUGUGAGCUUUUGCUUUGAAAUCUAAAGACCAGGUGCUUGAUAUGUUUAAGUUCUUCCAUGCUUAAGUUGAGAGAGGGACAUGAAGAAAAUUAAAAUGUGUCAGGGCAGGUAAUUAUGGUGAGUACAGAGGACCAUUUAAGCAGUAUUACAGAUCCCAUGGAAUCAGACUUGAGAAGACCGUACCAAAAACCCCUCAGUAGAAUGGUGUUGCAGAAAGGAUGAAUAGGACAAUUGAAGAAAAGAUCAUGUGUAUGCUUUCUGAUGCCAAGCUUCUUAAAUCAUUCUGGGCAGAGGCUAUAUGUACUGCAGUUGACUUGAUUAACCUGUCUCAUUUAGCUCCAUUAGACAGUGAUGUACCUGAGAGAGUUUGGAUUGGGAAAGAUGUUUUUUAUAAACACUUGAGAAUGUUUGGGUGCUGAGCAUAUGUUCACAUCCCUAAAGAUGAGAGAUCGAAACUUGAUGAUAAAGCCAAGGAAUGUAUUUUCUUAGGCUAUAGGCAUGAAAAAUUUGGGUAUAGAUUAUGGGAUCCAGUAGCAAGAAAACUAAUCAGAAGUAGAGAUGUAUUUCUUGAAGAUUAGAUAUUUGGUGAUGAAGAGAAAAACGAUGAGUCUCAAACAUCUCCAAAGAUUCCUAUUAUUCCAACUUCAGUUUCUCCACCUGUUAUUCAUAAUGAUCAUGGGGAGCUGGAGAGGAUAAUGAUGAUGGUCCAGCAGAACCAGUUGAGCUAGCACUUUCAAAACCACCAGCACCACCAGUUGAGCCAGAAUUGAGAAGAUCCACUAGAGAACGACGACCUUCCACCAGAUAUCCUCCACAUGAGUAUGUGAUGCUUACAGACGGAGGAGAGCCAGAAUGUUUGAGAAGUUAUGUCUCAUCACAUAAAAUGAGUGGGUUAAAGCAUGCAAGAAGAUAUGAGAACCUGAAUGAGAACCACAUUUAUGACUUAGUGAAGCUGCCUAAGUGAAUGCGAGCACUGAAGAACAAAUGAGUUUACAGGUUGAAAACUGAAAAUAACUCACAACAGCGGUACAAGGCUAGAUUGGUUGUGAAGGGUUUCAGUCAGAAGAAAGGUGCUGAUUUUCUCCUGUAGUGAAGAUGUGUUCUAUCCGAGUAGUUCUGGGAUUAGCAGCUAGCUUGGAUUUGGAGAUUGAACAACUUGACGUAAAGACAACUUUCUUGUAUGGUGACUUAGAUGAGGAAAUAUACAUGGAGCAACCUGAAGGAUUCAGUGUCAAAGGCAAAGAAGAAAUUGUGUGCAAAUUGAAGAAAAAUUUGUAUGGGUUGAAACAGGCACCAAGAUAGUGGUAUAAGAAAUUUGAUUCUUUUAUGGAGAAUCAUGGUUUCAGUAAGAUUAUGUUUGAUCAUUGUGUUUUUGUGAAAAAGUUUGGUGAUAAUGAUUUUAUUAUUCUUUUGCUUUAUGUGGAUGACAUGUUGAUUAUUGGCAAGGAUGUUAGUAAGAUUGACAAUCUGAAGAGAGAGCUUAGCAAGUCUUUUGCAAUGAAGGACUUGGGAUCAGCAAACAGAUUCUUGGCAUGAAGAUUUCUCGUGACAGAAAAACUGGGAAGUUAUGGUUAUCUCAAGAAGCAUAUGUUGAAAAGGUUCUUGAAAGAUUUAAUAUGAAUAAGACAAAAUAUGUUUGUUCUCCACUUGCAAGCCAUUUCAAACUUAGUUCCGAGCAUUGUUCUACAAGUGAGAAAGAGAAACAAGAGAUGAGAGGAGUUCCUUAUGCUUCAGCAGUUGGUAGUUUGAUGUACGCUAUGGUUUGUACAAGACCAGAUAUUGUACAUGCAGUUGGUGUAGUCAGCCCGUUUCUCUCCAAUCCAAGCAAAAAACAUUGGACAACAGUAAAGUUGAUUCUCAGAUAUCUCAGAGGCACUUCCAAGGUAUGUUUAUGUUUUGGUGGUGAUAAACCUGUGUUACAAGUGUACACGGAUAUAGAUAUGGCAUGAGAUGUUGAUUCCAGAAAAUCCCUAUCAGGAUAUUUGCUCAUCUUUGCAGGGGGAGUAGUUUCAUGGCAGUCUAGACUUCAGCAGUGUGCUUCUUUGUCUACCACAGAAGUAGAGUAUAUUGCAAUCACCGAGAGUUGCAAAGAAACCUUGUGGAUGAAGAAUUUCCUAUAAGAGUUGGGUGUUAAACAAGACAGCUACGUUGUGUAUUGUGACAGUCAAAGUGUCAUUCACUUGGCGAAGAAUUCAACAUAUCAUUCGAAGUCAAAGCAUAUUGAUGUGAGAUAUCAUUGGAUAUGAGACGUGCUUGAGUAAAAACAAUUGCAGCUUGAGGAAAUUCACACAUCAAAGAAUGCAUCAAAUAUGAUGACAAAAUCAUUACCUAAGGAGAAGCUGGAAAGUUGUAAGCAGAGAGCAGGUCUGGUGGUGUCCCUUAGAUGAGAUGAAGGGGGAGAUUUGUAGGGUCCAUCUCAUUUCGAUGGACCAAAAUGCCUAAAGUCCAAAAUAAUUUACUUGAUGUGUAAUUAUUGUAAAAUUUUGGACAUGGAUGAAAUUAAGUAGAAAGUAUAUAAAGGAAAUAAGUGAAGAAUUGCGAGAGCUGUAGGCAUUUCGCGAAUUGAGGAGGCGCUACUAGAGAGAAAGAUUUCUUUGGGGUUUCAAUCUUUGAUUCAACGAUCGCAAGGUGAUUUUAGCUCCGAUUCAUCCCAAAUUUGGAGGGUAAGUUCUUGACAUCGUCCUCUACAUUUCUACUGGUGUUGAUCUGUAUUUUAUUCUCUCUAUAGUUGUUGUUUGAGAUACCCACUUAUUGAAGAAAUAGAUUUUAGAUCUAUUAUUGUAAGCCAAGAUUGUUGAGAAUUUUGAUGUUGUUAUCCUCUAGUGUUAUCUAGAGAAGUCUUUGUGCUGUAAUCCCAUUUAGAUAGUGGAAGUUUAUAUCGGAUUACGGUCCCGUGAUUUUUCCCGAUUUAGGUUUUCCACGUAAAAAUCGGUGUCUCUUGUAGUUGAUUUUUACUUUGAGUUUAUUGGUUUAUUUUUUUGCAUAUUUAUUUGUGGUGCACAUCCUAUUUUAAUCAAAGAAAGAGGGAAAACUUUUUUGUUUAUGCUUAAUUUAUAGCUGUUUGUGGUAGUCCCUUUCCCAACAAAGUCAAUAAAUAAAACAUACUUUAUAUGUAAAUGGUGUAAUCAACAUGUGAGAUCAGGAGGUCACAAUUUUCAAUUACUUUUAAAUUUAAAUGCCUAAUACUUCAAUUACACAAUCCAUUCUCAUUUUCUUUCAAUAAUAAAAAACAAAGUACUGAGUUCAAAGCACCUUUUGUCAAUGUCUAUGUACCCAAAGAAGUGUGAUUAAAAAUUUAGGACGUGUUCAGAUUCUGCGAGGCUUGUUCUGAAGAAAUGGAUGAUUUGGAGGAAAAAAGGAAAAAAAAAAAACAAUGACGACACAUGAUUAAAUGCUUUUAAACCGGAGAAUUACCAAUAUAUUUCAGGUUUAUUCUGGCAAAAUAUAUGCAUUAUAAAUUCAAGAAUGGAAAGUGUCAAGAUAAGAUUGCUUUUAUUAUCUAAUUAAUUCUAGCUAGCAAGCCCAUUUGCUUUUAAUUUCUUUGCAAUUUAACAGACAAUGAAUAUGGCUAGGUACACAAACAGAUGCGUAUGUGAGCACCAACUUGAAAUAAACCUCCUUUCAGUUUCACACAGCUGUCAUCUCUCUAUCCACAAAGGAAAGAGAAACAACAAAUGGAGACUCCAAAACAUUGUAUAUUUCCGACACCUCAGAAAACUUGCAAAAUUUAUAUAUUCGUCUAAUGAAAUGAGAUCCAUAAAUAAACAUUGUGUUUUUACUAGUUUAUAGUUGUUCAUGGAAAGUUCCAUUUAGUACAUCAAUCCAUCAAUAUUAAAUAAAUCAAAUCUAAUAUUUUCAACUGAUUUGGAAUAGCUAAAAUCCGCUUCCGAGCUCCACAUCAUAUAUAUCUUAGAUGGAGCUUAGGAGAAAAAAAUUAAAAUAUAAAAGUUAAUAGUAUGUAAUAAAUAAAAUAUUUAAAUAAUAUUUUUGAUAAAAUUAGUAAAGAUAUAAUAGAUUUUUAAUAAUCCAAGUGUAAAAUUAAAUUAACUUGUAAGUUAUAAUAAUUAUUGUUUACCAAUCACUUUAAUAAAGUAUUCUAACUUUUAAGCUAAAGGCCCAACCUCAAUAUUAACAAGAAAACAAAUUGUAUCAUCUAAUUAAUGUGCCUUUUCUAAUUGAGUACCAAACAUUUAACAAAUGAAUCACAUAUAUAUACUAGGCGUAAAACGAGAUAAUGUUACGUGCAAUGAUGCACAAAUUAAUUUGUAAAAAAUAUAAUAAUUCUUUUAUAUCGCUAAUUGAUGUGGGAAAAUUUAAACAAAAUUACAGAAAAAAAGCAGUAAAUCCUAAUCUACUACGUAUACUACUCUAAAACUUCAUGCUACUGCUGUGAUAUUGCUUGCAGGAUUCUCAAUCCUUCUCCGCCGCCUUAUGACAAUGACCCAAGUUACUACUUCCAAAAUAACGGCAAUGGCUCCCAAGACAAUAAGAACACAAGCAUACACCAAGCGCCAAAUCUUCAAAGGGUUCAAAAUAUUAAAACCCUCAAAGAUGUUGAAGAUGCUUAAUAUUAUGAUGGCGUAUCCAACAGAAUGGUGGUAAAAAUUCCACCAAAUUCUGUACUUGUGCUCCUUCUUUGGUCUCAGUUUCAACGCAAGAACCUGAAUGAAGCCAAGAACGAGAAGUAGUAUCCCAAUAGUCCUGUGAGUGGAAUGUUGAAUGCCAUGAGAUUUGUUGCCAAGGUAAAUUCCUGUCCCCGCUCCGGCAAUACCAAGUAAGUAAGCCGAGGAUUGGCAUAUGAUGUGAGCAUAAAACCAAGCGGGAUCAGCUGAUUGGAAGACCUUCAUGUACCUGGCAGUAAUAGCACCCACUGGCAUCAAGAAGCCCCAACUAGCCGCGUUUAUGAUUCCAUGAACCUGCUUGAAAUGAAGAGUACCCGAGGUUCCUCCUUUGGUAGUCGUAACUUUCCCGGAAAGAAGAUCCAAAGUACCCAUUGAUUUGACAUUGUCGCCUCCUAGAGAAUGCAUGCCGAGGUGAUUGUCACUACGUACAGGACCUUCUUGCCACACGUGGCUCACUGUGGUCAUGUUCUUUGGAAGCACUAUCGUUGCGUAUAUUAUCAUCACGUUAUUGGAAAAGUCUGCUGAAAUCUUGGGAACCUGAAAGCUCAAGUUUCCCUCUUGUAAUUCGGUGCCAUAACUCAUCACCGGCGAUGUGUAUGCCUUCAAGAUUCCGUUAGGGUUACGGUAGGCUACAAGAGAUUGAGAGCCGACCAUGCCUUUACCGGUAGGGUUUAUUGCCCACGCAAUCCAUCUGGUUGGUUGCAUGCCUACAUGACGAUAGGCCAAGUCGACAGAGCCGGUUGCUUCGUCGUAGCUCCAGUGGAGAAAAGAAUUUAAAGCUUGCAAAUCAACGCAUGCACCGUAUUUGUUGUUGUGGGUGGUGAAACGGUAAUUGGUACAUGUUUGAGUUGUUUGAGCGAAUGAAGAAGAUGAAGAAAGCAACAAAGUAAAAAGCGCAAUCAGAAAGAUUCUCUUCAUGGAUUUGUUUGGGGAGUUUAAAGACAGAAACUAAUUUUUAUUUUUAUAUAAGCAAUCUGUCUCUUGCUACUGCUAUGUAUUUAUAGAAGUAAACUAAAUAGGAAAUCUCAGUUCCUUGUGAACUUGAGUUUCCUGUUCGUAAUAGGAAUAACACCCAUAUAGAUUACGAAACCUCACUAGGAAUCCUUCUGUGUACAGGGAACUAGAAUAGGAAAUUUCAUCAAUAUAUAUAUGAUUUUGCAUGGGUUGUGGAGUAGGCGUGUUUCACGCGUCUAUAUUUCGCAGCGACACAAACAUGAAAAAAAAAAAUCGAUAAAUAUAUUCAUCAUAAUCUUGAACGAAAUUUGUGAGAUUGUUGAAUUUGUAUUACAAUUUUUUAAUACGUGGCUGAAUUGCAUCGAGACGAUUAAGACUAAUGCAGUUUCUUUUUAAUUUAUUCAUGUUUUUUCAGGACUGUCAUACUAUUUUUGGUUGUUGAGCCAAUCCAGGUCUGCAAUCCUUGGAGCGUACUUUUCGGAGAUUUUUGCUAUAUAUUCCAUCAUUAUAAUAAUCUGAUUGAUCAACAAUUUUACUUGUCUUUUAUGUCUCUAUUGACGGUUUAAGGCAAGGCUCACUUUGUCCCCAGAUUUAUUGUACUUUCAUUUUCAUUAUUGACAAUAUUCCUCCGCAAUGAGGCUCCAUUCAUAUAAAAAAUAUAUUAUAAAAUUUUAAAGAUUUCAAUUUUUGAGUGACAAGAAAAUUAGUUUUAAAUAAAAAAUGAAUAAGGGGUAAUUAUUAGGUUAUAUAGUGCUUACGAAUUAAUGUGGUACCAGGAAGGAAAUUUAAUGGUUUAUUUCUAGUUUUUCAGAGUCAAUACUCAAUACAACACUUUAGAGGUCAUUAUAUAUCACUUCACCUCUUAUUAUUUUCAUAAUAAUCAAUAAUCCUCCUAACAUCAUAGUUUUAUAGUAUUGCCCUUAUUUUUAAAUACAUUUUAUUCAUAUUUAUUAUAAAUUAAUAAAUAAUAUCAAUGUAAAUAAAAAUUAAGAAGUUUAAGUACUAGAAAUUUUUUUUAUGUAAAUAAAGAAUUAAUAAUUAAUAAGAUAUUUUUCUUAUACUUUUUGUCAUUUAAAAUUUUUUUUUCUUAUAGUAAAUUUAUAUUUUAUAUUUGUUCUUGCUCAUACUUGAUACAGGUAACAAUAAUCUCAAAUUAGACAAUUACUGCAUGAAAAGGAAAUGCAGAAUAAUUUUCAUCUUUUGGAUGAAAAAAUAGUUCCCAGAAAUAAAAUUAAUUCCAUUCAUAUUAGUCUAUUCACUCCUGAAAUUCUUCACUUGGAAAGAAAAACGAGAAAUACACUUGUAGUGGGUUCAAUUUUUGGUAUGAAAUGCAUUGCAAGUUUUGCGGUCUCUUUCAUUGAAAUCAAAUUUUCUUCAUUUGAAUAGCAGUAACAUAGAAACUCUCAACUGCUAAGCUGGGUUAGUUCUCUUGUUAGUCAAGCAUAACAAAUUAGCAACGGCAAAACAGCUCUCAGCUUUUGUUCUUUUGCUUCUCAUCAUAUGCUGGCCUUCUCCGCUUAAUAACAACACAAAAUUCCAGGUUAAUUUAUAACAACACAAAAUUCCAGUUAUAUAUGCAAAAUUUAUGCAAUGAUAGUUGAUGCCAAAUUUUGAGCUUGAAAUUUUUAGAGGUCUUGAAUAACUUGUAACAUUUGUAAUUCUCUGCAGAGAGGCAAUACCACCAGCUAAUGAAGGCGAACAGGGAUGGUUCUUUCACACUCUUGGCAGUGCUGCCCAAUUUAUACAGAAUUUUGACAUUUUAAGAAUCUGACUCUAUGUCAUGGAAUCAAGUCCGUUGAUUCUCUGUUAAAUUUCUUGAACGUGUUGAAAAAUUUAUGAUGGACAGGUUAGCCAAUUCGUGCUUGUCAGAGUGAGUGAGCCUAUAAGGCCUCAUAUAAUCCAAAACCAGGAGCAUGACAGGUUCAGUUUCCUGUCAGCAAAUAUUAACUUUUCGAGUUUUCUUUUCUAUAAAGUGCAUCAAAUCUUUAUACCUUUUUCAGGUGAACAAGGACAGACGCUGAAGGUAGACGGCAAGGCUUCGUGUUUUCAUUUCUAUCUAAUAAAUAACAUGGUGCGUCCAGAAACCUUCAACUGGAGAUGAACGGCCAAAUGCAUGCAUGCCGUUCUGCUGCGACAAAGUACACAUUGACUGUAGGAUUAUACAAGCCGGGGACCGUGUUAUGAGCCUAACAACAAUUACUCUCAUGCUUCAGUUGUCACAUAUCUCCACUACAGGGCCAAUAACAAGCUAACCCACACCUAUGAUUUCAUGAAGCGUGGUCUGAUUAUCUCUCAGGACCAACGUAAACUUGAAAAUUUCCCUUUUUGCCACUAAAUUAUUAUCUAUAAACUUACACUUUGAAUCUGCAUUAUCAAAACUAAGAACGUGAAGAUAUAAUAUACACGAUUGUCAUAUUUCAUUUUGCAGCUGUUGGAAAAUACAUAUAUGAACAUGCUAAUGAGGAGGAAAUCCUUUAGUGAUUUUUCAUAUUAAAUAAAAUUGGAUGAUUGAAAAGUAAAAUUUUACAUUGCUUAUGGCUAAUGAAUUGUAUGUGCUUCCGUAUGAAUUUAUGAAGAGCUUUCUAACUUGAAAUAAACAAACAUUGAUUCGUUGAUUUUAGCCGUGAUGAUGCCAUUAUGGAUUAGCAAGGGCAUCACAAUUUCAAAUUAAAACUUCUUUGAUGAGAUUGAGGACAAAACUGUCACAAGCACAUGGGAUGGGUUAUAUUCAGAUCCUAUUCAAGUUUCCGUCGGACCAGUCAUAAGAACUUGAGCAAAAAAUUUCAAAGAAAUGCUUAAUAGGUUUAUUCAAGCAACUUGGGCUCAAUUAAAUUCAUGGAAGCCCGUUGGAGGAAUCGCACACGAUAACUACAUGAUUCAGGCUCUUAAGGUUUUCAAAUAAUCACUUCCAUAAAAUAGAAAGUUGCUUACACAUUAUGGCGGGAAAAUAUAAUAUUUGCCUUUUUCGGAUACUUUCCCGAUUCUUGAGGAGGCUAGUGGAAAGACAAAUCAAUUAUUUCUCUUUUAAUUGUCGAGUUUCCAUUCUAAUUAAUAUAAGGCAUUUAAGGCGAUUAGGAUUUUGAUUUGAUUUAGAUUCUUUCUUAUUUGCUUAGAUUAUGAUUAUGAUUUGAUUUAGAUUUUUUCCUUAUUUGCUUUAGAUUAGAAUUCCGAUUUGAUUUCAAUUUAGAUUUAUUUCUAAAAAAAUUUAUAACCAACCCUAUAUAAUGUACUCGCACCCAAUAAACAGAGAAGAUCAGUUUUGAAUCUGGUGAUUAGGUAUGGUUACACAUGCAUAAGGAAUGAUUUCUGGAAUGGAGGAAAUCUAAAUUAUUGUCUUGAAAGGAUGGUCCUUUCCAAGUUUUGGAAUGGAUCAAUGAUAAUGCAUAUAAGCUAGAUUUGCCCAAUGAGUACAAUGCAAGUACUACUUUUAAUGUUUCUAAUUUGAGUCCUUUUGAUGCAGGUGAUAAUUUGAGGACAAAUCCUCUUCAAGAGGAGGGGAAUGAUGGGAUUAAGGGCAAAACUAUUACUAGCACAUGGGAUGAGGUAUAUUUAGAUCCUAUUCAAGUUCUCGUCGGACCAGUCACAAGAGCCCAAGCAAAGAAAUUCAAUGAAGUGCUUAAUGGGUUAAUUCAAGCAACUUGGGCUCAAUCAAAUUUAUAGAGGCGCGUUGAAAGAAUCGUACAUGAUAAAUGCAUGAUUCAAGCUCUUGAAGUUUUCAAAUAAACACUUCCAUGAAAUAGGAAGUUGACUUGCACAUUAUCACGGGAAAAUAUAUUAUUUUCCUUUUUUGGAUACUUUCUCAUUUUUUGAGGUUGCUAGUCGAGAAACAAAUCAGUUAUUUAUCAUUUAAUUGCCGAGUUUCCAUUUUAAUCGAUAUAAGGAAUUUAAGCUGAUUAGGAUUCUAAUUUGAUUUAGAUUCUUUCCUAUUUGCUUAAAUUAGGAUUCUGAUUUGAUUUAAAUUUUUUCAUAUUCACUUAUAUUAGGAUUCUAAUUUGAUUUAAAUUAUUUCCUUAUUUACUUUAAAUUAGGAUUUUGAUUUGAUUUCAGUUUAGGAUUUAUUUCCAAAAAUUCUUGUAACCAACCCUAUAUAAUGUACUCGCAUCAAUAAACAGAGAAGAUCAGUUUUGAUGUAAUUGGUGAGAGAGUUAAUUUUCUUUGGUUCUUAAACAAACUCUUUGAACUUAUCGGAUUUUGGUGGCAUUCAAACUCUUAACUUAUCAAUCAGAUCAUCCAUAACUAAUUGUAGCGUCGUCACAUACCAAGGUUCGAGCUUUCAUUGAGCAUUGGGGUCGCGGUUCCAUUUAUUUCCAAGUUUAGAUUCGAUCUUGGAGAUUAAAUUGAUUAGGGUCGCGUCAGUUCUUAGCGGGGUCCAUAUCAUUCUUGGUCUAAUUGUCUUCAAUUUCAAAUAAAAUAUUUGAGUUACCUCAAUGUAAUUAAAUCUUGAAAUCUCGAUGAACUAUUCAGCAUUAAAGUUCUGCAGACUCUUUAGAAUCUAACAAAGAAACCAAGAGUCAAACUCACGUAAAAUCGAAGAGUCAUAAAAUGAUCCUCCUCAUCUUUUGGAGCGUUUGCAUAAUCAUCUCUACCUGGACUUAGGAGUUGAUUGUUCAUCCGAACACUUAUUUGGAAGUGAAAAGCACAAAGUUAUGCAACAUCUGAGUACAUAAAGUGCUUUGGAAUGUGUGCUUUGGCGCUUUCGCCUUUUAGGGGCUAUUUCAUCAUGUUGUAUGACAAGAUACAUAAAAUGGCACUUCGUUGAUCUAUUUAUUAUUGCUUGGGGCACAAUAGUACACUUUCGUUUAGUACAGAAUGUUAGUAUGAGGUCCAAGUAUGACAAGGUAAUUGCCCAAGGUACUUGUUCAAUGAUAGUUUUUAGAAUCAUGUCUAUAUGUUCUUGUAAUAUGAUUUUUGGCUACAUGAUAGUGCUAGCAGUCAUAGAUCAUACUAUUAGAGUAUUUCGACUACCUUAUUCUUUUGUUGUAUAAUUAUGAUAAUAUUAUUACAAAUGGUUAAUAUAUGUUGGCAUUAACUACAAUAUACUUUUUAAUUCUAUUAGAAAUUUUGGGAGCUAUGUGGAUGAGAUUAUUUAAGUAUAUUAAUCACAGUGAUGUGUGAUAUUAUAGAUGUUUGAGGAGAUAUUGAUUAAUGAAGUUGGUUAAAUAUCCGGCUGUUUUGGGAGUACUAACUUUAUUAUAAAUGUUUGAAGAGAUAUUUACUAAUGAAGUUGGUCGAAUAUCUAAUUAUUCGAGAAGUGCUUACUUUUGUAGGUUGGAAACUUAAAAUAUGGGAGACUCUAACGAAUUUCAACAAAAUCCUUAAUGAUAAUUUUAUUUAUUCAUGUUAGAUGGAACUAACUAGAUUCACCCUUAGAGUUGGAUAGCUGGUUUCAAAUUCACCUCAUAGAUUUGUUUUGGGGAUUAAAAACAGAAACUAAUUUUUCAUUUGAUACGAGCAAUUCUUUGCGAUUGCUAUUUAUUAAUAGGAAUAAGUACACAGAAACCGAUUCCACAUACAGAGCCAGGAAAUUUCAUCAAAAUAGGAAACUUUGUUAGGUUUCAUUUAGGAAAUUGUAAAAUAUAAAUUUAUCAAUAACAUAAAAUUACAAAUUUCAUUUAGAAACCUUUAGUAAAAUUAUUUUCUAAACAUGAACACAAAUUUUAUAAAUCUAUUAAUCUUAAUUUUGAGCUGAGAUUUAUGUGAUUAUUAAAAUCAUGUAUAUGAUAAAAUUUAAGCAUUUCAUUUUUUUAUAAACUAAAAAUUAUAUUACAACGACAUUAUCUUUGAUUUAAAGCUAGGUUUUAACAAGAAAAAGAAUGUAAUAAUAUUGUCUAAGAAUAAAAAAGAAUAUGAAUAUUUAUUUUUACUUAUCGAAUCAUAGUAGAAGAGUCUUUCUUUUAUUCCCAACCAUGUUUUUGCUUUUUUUAACUUUUCUUUUGUUCAUUACCUUUUCAUUGAGUAUAAACAGCUAAUUUAACAUAUUCGUAUUUAUCAUCCUCUAAUACAUAUUCGUAUUUAUCAGCUAAUUUAGUUUAAUUGUUAAAACUCCUUAGGUUCCAACUUCACUCACACACAGAGAGUCUUCUAAUAUACACCUCAUUAAAUAUCAUAAAUUCAUAUAAUAAAUACUAAUAAAAGUCAAUUGGUAGAUUUUAAAUGCUAUAAACAAUUUUUUCACAAUUUUUGUUUUCUAACUUCGUCGGAAAAACUUUAGAAUGCGGACGUCAGCAUACCAUUAUAAAAUAUCGUUGGAAAAUAAAAUAUAUAAAAUUGAUUCAUGCAUAGAUGAUAUUUCAUGGGGUUAUUUAUCGUCAGCCCCCACAAGUUUCGACUAUGUGCACUGUGCACCCACAUCUUUCGACCAUGUGUACCACACCCCCAUUUCUGUUAAAAAAUCGGUUAAUUCUAACUGUUCAGACUGUUGUUAACCUAAAAGACCAUACUACCUCUGUUUUGAAUUGAAUUGAUGUAUAAGUACUAAAAUAUCCCUUAUAACUUAUGAAAUUUACAUCAAGAAAUAAAGAUUUCUUAUAACAAUAUCUAUUUUUAUAUAUUUUUUAAAUUAAAUUGAAUCAAUUUUUUUUCAUUAUCAUAACGAAAUUGUAAAUCGGUAAACUUCAAAAUGAGAGACAAAGCAGGAUUCCAAAGGGAAAGAAGAAAAUCAAACACAGAAUCAUCAUCAGAUUACAAAAAAUUCCAAUUAUAAAGAAACCAAAUCAAAUUAUACCAAACAGCUGCUGCAAAUUUCACUGUAAAAUUCUAUUACAAAAGACCCAAACUAAGAAAAUUUAACAAAAAAGAAUCCAAAAUAAAAAAUCAUAAAACUAAAGAUUUCAAACCCUAAAUCAAAUUAUAGAGGCGACGGAGACGGCGACAGCUUCAAGUGGUGGCGUCAGCGGUUUCGUGCAGCAGUGGAAGUGAUGGCAGAUCACGCAGCGCAUGCCAUUUUUUUGUUGUCGAUUCAAGUUGGUGGCUGAUCACUUCGAUAGGCAGCACUAGUGAAAGACAAGAAGAAGGAAAAGGAGAAUAAGAAGAAAAAAGAAGAAGAAGAAGAACGAAGGAAUAAAGACGGGAAGAAGCAAAGGAAGAGAAUAAAAAAAGAAAAGGGAAAUAGAAGAUAGAAAAAAAAAACGAAGGAUAAAAGUCUUCUUUCCCAAAUUUUUUUAUAUAUUAUUUUAAUUUAAUACAAAAUUAUCAUUUUACCCUUCUUUUAUGUUAAGUUAACGGUAGAUGGACGAAAAUGGGGGCGGGAUGCACAUGGUCGAAAGAUGUGGGUGCACAGUGCACAUAGUCAAAACUUGUGGGGGCUGACGAUAAAUAACCCUAUUUCAUGUGGAUGCAAAGUUUACAACAUUGUACAAUGACAUAAACUACUUUACAACAUUGUAAAGUACAUUUCCAAUGUCAGAAAGGAUUUUAUGGCACUGUAAAUACUGAAUCUACAUCUUAAAAAAUGCGAAUAUCCAUACUGAUAAUAUUGUUAAAAAUAAACUAGUAAUAAAGUAGAAAAGAGCGGACAAAAGAAAUGUUUGAAUAAUAGACAUUGAUAAUUUUCUAUUCUUUCGUAGUGAGGAAAUGAAUUACCUACGCGGGAAGGGAAUUCAAUUUCCUAUCAGUGAUUAUAGAAAGUAAUUCCGCCGGUCCAAACAAACUAAUUUCCUAUUCUAGAUCCCUAUACACACAAGGAUUUGUAGUGAGGUUUCCUAAUAUUUAUUGAUGUUAUUCCUAUUAGGAACAGGAAACUCAAGUUCGUAACGAACUGUGAUUUCGUAUUUAAUUUACUAAUAUAAAUACAUAACAGUACCAAGAGAUUAUUUGCUUAUAUAAAAUUAAAAAUUUGUUUCUGCCUUUAAUCCUGCCAAAACAAAUCCAUGAAGAGAAUCUUUCUGAUUGCGCUUUUUACUUUGUUGCUUUCUCCAUCUUCUUCAUUCGCUCAAACAACUCAAACAUGUACCAAUUACCGGUUCACCACCCACAACAACAAAUACGGUGCAUGCGUUGAUUUGCAAGCUUUAAAUUCUUUUCUCCACUGGAGCUAUGACGAAGCAACCGGCUCUGUCGACUUAGCCUAUCGUCAUGUAGGCAUGAAACCAACCAGAUGGGUUGCGUGGGCUAUAAACCCUACCGGUAAAGGCAUGGUCGGCUCUCAAUCUCUUGUAGCUUACCGUAACCCUAACGGAAUCUUGAAGGCAUACACAUCGCCGGUGAUGAGUUAUGGCACCAAUUUACAAGAGGGAAACUUGAGCUUUAAGGUUCCCAAGAUUUCAGCAGACUUUUCCAAUAACGAGAUGAUAAUAUAUGCAACGAUAGUGCUUCCAAAGAACAUGACCACAGUGAGCCACGCGUGGCAAGAAGGUCCUGUACGUGGUGACAAUCACCUCGGCAUGCAUCCUCUAGGAGGCGACAAUAUCAAAUCAAUGGGUACUUUGGACCUUCUUUCCGGGAAAGUUAUGACUACCAAAGGAGGAACCUCGGGUACUCUUCACUUCAAGCAGGUUCAUGGAAUCAUAAACGCGGUUAGUUGGGGCUUCUUGAUGCCAGUGGGUGCUAUUACUGCCAGGUACAUGAAGGUCUUCCAAUCAGCUGAUCCCGCUUGGUUUUAUGCUCACAUCAUAUGCCAAUCCUCGGCUUACUUACUUGGUAUUGCUGGAGCGGGGACAGGAAUUUAUCUUGGCAACAAAUCUCAUGGCAGUCAACAUUCCACUCACAGGACUAUUGGGAUACUACUUCUCGUUCUUGGCUUCAUUCAGGUUUUUGCGUUGAAACUGAGACCAAAGAAGGAGCACAAGUACAGAAUUUGGUGGAAUUUUUACCACCAUUCUGUCGGAUACGCCAUCAUAAUAUUAAGCAUCUUCAACAUCUUUGAGGGUUUUAAUAUUUUGAACCCUUUGAAGAUUUGGCGCUUGGUUUAUGCUUGUACUCUUGUUGCAUUGGGAGCCAUUGCCGCUAUUUUGGAAGUAGUAACUUGUGUCAUUGUUAUAAGGCAGCGGAGAAAGAUGGAGAAUCCUGAAACCAAUGUCAGAGCAGCAGCAUGAAGUUUUAGCGUUGUAGUAUAUAGAUUAAGAUUUACUGAUUUUUUCUGCAAUUUUGUUUAAAUUUUCCCACAUCAAUUAGCGAAAUAAAAGCAUUAUUAAUUUUUUUUGGUACAAAUUAAUUUGUACAUAAUUGCAUGUAACAUUAGCUCGUAUAUUACGACUAGCAUACAUGUUGAUUUUUUUUAAAUGUCGGGUAAUCAAUUAGAAGAGGCACAUUAGAUUAUACUGUUUGUUUAAUUGUUUUAUCCCCGAAAGUUAAUUACUGAUACCAGUUCCAUGGUACGAGGAAUUUUUUAAGGGGAUAGAUCUUUCUCAAUAGAACCUCUCGUAUGAGUUUUAGUAGAUGUUUAAGUGUCCUUAAAAUACGUAAUUGUGGAGAGUAAUCUCUAAAUUAAUUAAACUUCUUAACAAUAUUCAUCUCAAAUUGAAAAGUUGGAAAUUAUACGUGUUUGUAGUUGGUACAACAUAUUUUUCUUUAAUAUUUUUAACAACUAAUCAAAUGCAAAUCUCUAAGAUAAGUCAUCUCUUACAUCUUGCUCUUGUUUUCUUUUAACUUCUAUAUGCUUUUCAAUUUUUUUCAUUCCCCUGUUUCGACGGCAGCAAUUAGCAUCCUGUACUGUUCAUACUAUUCUCAAGUCAAAUUGCAUUUGUAAAUUGUAAUGUUUGGACUGAUUAAUUGAGAAACAUUUAUCACAACCAUAUUGCCCAACUUGCUUCCGAAAUUUCUUUUGACCUUAACCACCGCUCUUCCUUGAUCAUUGUUGUUUCCAGUGGCGGAGCCACCGAAGGCCCAACGUGGACAGCUACGUCUCUGCAUCUAUUUUUUUUUUUUAAAUUCAUUUUUUAAACCUACUCAUUUUUUGUAUAAUACAAAUAAAAUUAGUGAUUUGUCACUUUGGCUUUGAGUAAAACACAAAAACAGAUGUACAAAAUUACAUUUUCAUUACCAAUACGCACUGUAUCUUAAUUAAGAAGGAGGCUUGCGUCUCGUUUCUCCAUGGAGUGCAUAUUGACUCACUGCUCCUUUGGAUGUGCCAAUUGAGUUGGCCAUUUUGCUAAUUAUCCCCUCCAAGUGGUGCAACUUGUCGUUAAUGCUUAUAUAUAUUUUUUCUUUUGCGAUUUUGACAAGGAAAUAAUAACAAAUUAUACACUUAAAGAAAAAUAGUCUUCAGCGACAUGAAAAAUAGUGUUACAAGUACUUAUAAUAAUGAUACUUGCUAAUUGUGUCAUUGAUUUGGUAGUCAAAAUCUAUGAUUAUUGUUACGAUGAUAUCAAUGUUUGAUUUAAUAUUUCAAAUUCAACAAACUUAAAAAUAAUGUUACUUUAUUGGAUGAUUUAGGCAACAGAAAUAGAUUUAUAUUUGAACAAAUACUACUAGAAAAAUUGUUUUUACUGACAUUAGAAUAGUGUCAGUAAUUACUUUCAGUAAUACUUGUUAAUUGUGUCAGUAAUCUGACAGUAAAAAAAAUAGUGACACUUGUAUGUGGUGUCAGUGAUUAUUAUUACUAUAGUAUUAGCAAUUUUAUGACACUAUAGUGUUAGUAAUUAUUGAUAUCAUAUUAGUGUGUAAGAUUAUUGUUACCAUAGUAUCACUGUUUAAUUUAUUUAGAAAAAUUAAAAUUUGAAUUGGCUUAUUGCCUAUUGAGUUAUUAAUAAAAUUAAAAGGCAUCACAAAAUAACCAAAAAGAAACUCGAUUUAUAUUAUAAAAUCUUUCAUUUCAUAUUUAAAUAUUAUUAUUACAUAUUACAAAUUCCAAGUACUUCAAGAAACAAGAUAUGAGAUAAUCCACCCUUAUAGCUGAAUAAUCUAAAUUAAAUACAUAAAAUUUUCUACCAUCCAAUCACAUUCCUACUAGUUGUAACUAAAUUUAACAUUUAUAACAACUAAAAUGAGAAGGAUGAUUGUCUUCACUCUUUCAACAUAAGUAGUGCAAUUGAGUUAUCACACCAACAGCUCCUUCAUUCUCCCUUCAAUAAUGGGUGGGUUAGGAUACAAGUGAAGUUGAUGAAGAAACACUUCAAACAUAUUAAUCAAAUCUGCAUAUAAAUACAUGGAAAAAGGAAAAAUUAAAAAUUGCAUGUCAAUUUCCAACCAUUAGAGAAACAAUGGUUAAUAGAAAUAAACUUUUGUCAUAUUUGUGUUUUUGGCUAAUUUCUAUGUUUAAAAUCAUCAUGUCCCACAUAUCUUCAACUGGAAACAGUGGCAGUUGGAUUUCAAGUUUUUUAGAAUAGGGAAACCGAACCUAGUAAGCUUGUGGAUAUUUGUAUCUUUACUAAAUAUACAUAAAUCAUUCAACUGAGUUUUACCAGGAUAAUAAAAAUAGCUCAUGCAGUACACUGCAUCGCAUAAUUCAAAUACAUAUAUACUUUUAAGUCUAUUCACUUAAUGCAAUGCAAACCACAAAUUCAAACUGACCAAGAACCUCUUCUCUCUUCGCUGCUUCUUCUUUGCUUUCAUAAAGCCCAACUUCAACCAAAAAUGUCAACCCUAAAGGAAAUCGAAAUCAGGGUGUCAUAUAAAAAAAAUUAUAAAUAAAGAUAAAACAAAACCUUUUCCAAGUCACAAGUUCUUUGUAUAUAAGCCUCUAUGGAUUCUAUAAUUGAUAUUGGUUUCAUUUAAUUAGCUGGCGACAACGACUAUAGAUAAUUUAUAUGUGUAGUGUUACUCUAUAACUACAUGAUGAGGAUAAAGAAAGGUAUAACGCACUAGCUAUGCGGACAAUUUCACAUGAACCAAGAGCUUUUAAUACCAGCGUCACUAUGGUCAAAAGAUUCUCCUUCACAGAUAAAACUAAUCCGGGACUACCACAGGUGGAACAAUUCUAACAACAAAAUACUGCACAUUACCAGAGUUAUUUCUUUAGGUAACGAUUUUAUAGGAUUUAUCUGAAAAGUGAAAAAAGUAUAAAUAUUCAGAUCGAAUUGUGGAGGUGAUAGCUAUUCAUUAAUUUACAACUUAAUUAAUUGAUAUGUAACAAUCACAUAAAACUGUAUGCAUGAAGUGAAUGGAAUAAAGAGUUAAAAAAAAAGCAUUUUAAUUUCAGAGGUAGUUUCAGCAUCCUUUUCAAGCACGUUGUGUGCCCCACAAAUAAGACAUGUUAACUGUCAUUUAUAAUUCAAUGGCAUAGAAAGAAGUAUCAUUUCACAAUUGCAAUACAGUUGGACAGUGGAAAUAGUGAGUAUUAAAACAUUGAUUAAUGUUGGGGGGCUGAAUGCUGCAUUUUUAAUUAUAUCUUUCCCUUUUAUUAGCAUUGUAAAAUCUGCACCAACUUCACAAAACACCAACCAGAUAUACGAACUUUGUGCAUGAUGAAGUAUAUUAAGCCAAUUUUGCCCAACCCCGUACCUGAAAAAAAAAUGAGCAUAUUAAGCCAAUUUUCAUACUCCAUGGCCUUAUGAUCUAUCAGCUUUUGUAAGGUAGGUCUUGUGGGUGUCUUAGGAAAAAAAAAUGUAGGUCUUGUGGGUGCAUCAAGAGCAAAAAGGUGGAUCUUUUGGGCAUUUAAUUAUUUUCCAUUAACUCUCACAUUUAAAGGGAAUAGGGAUAAACUAUUAACUGAACACUUACUAAGAAACUGUAGUGAACAUUUGAAGAAAAUAUAAAUAAAUAAAACAUGUUAUUUUGAGCAUUCAGUCAUAAUACCAACUCACAAUGAAGUAUGAUUUCCUUUUGGAAAUUAGACCAUUUAAAAGCUUUGUCAAACACCCUGAAAAAAGGGGCCAAUACAUUUAUCCAAUAUAUGAGAUACCACAUUAUUGCUUCUACCUUCAUGCAUCAUAAACUAUCAUGCUUUCUGGACUUCCUGUCUAAAUAUAAAAGUACAUUUUAAAGAAGAAACCAAUUGCUGUGUAUCCAAGCCCAGCCACAAAAAGGUGAAAUUAUCAAACAACCAAAACAACAGAAAAACUCAAAAUACCUAAAAUUGAUAGGCUUUGUGCCAAACUCAAGAGGUUGCCAGACAUUAGAUAUCAAUCCAAAAGAGCUUAAAUCCUAUAACGGGGCAGAUAAGCUAAUCUGGAUGCCGUUUUUCCCAUGGUCAUGACUGAACUUUUUCAGUAUACGGCAAUAGUUCACCUAAAAACACAAUAAAGCUUGUCAACUUAAGGAUAUAAGAUCUUAAUCUUGUUAAAAUAAAUAGUAAAAUAACUACUCUUAUAGAAAAAGGGAAAGGGAAAUUCCUUGUGGUUGCACUCAUGCAAAUAGAAUGAUCUAUUAAUCGAAUUGGAACUUUCCCAAUUAUAGAGUUACAUGUUUGCAAAUAUCACUUAUGGAUAAUGACCCACAAAGUAAAAAUCAAAUAUUUCCCUUAACAGUUCUUGAUUACGGAAGUAUAGGACAUCCUUUUUAUUCUGAAAUGAAUUAACUUUUAAUCAUUCUAAGAUAGUGUUCAAUCAUAAUUAUUUUUCAAAGAAAAAACUGGUCCUUGAGAACUCUAAAUGACCAUUUACUAAGGCCAAGAUACCUUCAGAUCCUUGAUUGAUAAUGCAUCACAUAUCUUUCCUCAAUCAUACAACCACCCAGAUCAAAGCAUCAUAUGUUGCUUAAAUUUCAUAAACUUAACAAAACAGAUAACUCACCUCCAGGCGGAAUAGGUUUGUGGGAAAAACAAUCCCAGCUCCAAUAGAACUUCGGGUUGACUCCAAAAACUUUGGCAAAGAGAAAUUUCGGUAUUCAUUCUUUGUCAACUUGGCAACAUUCCCAGCACAUGCAAAAAGAUGUCCAUGAAUUGCUUUUUCUCUAAACCACCUCAAUGGAAGAUCAAAAGAAAGAUCUGCAAAGGCUGAAACAGCAAGGUCUCCUCCAAGAAAAUCCCUUUCAGAAGCAUCAGCAUUCUCAUCAAGGAAUCGCCUCUAACUUGCCUUCUUGGCUCUGCAGGGCCCAAUCCCCUUGUCUUAAACCCCCAUAAUGUCGAUGGCCUCUCUGAACUCAACAUUAAAAACAAUAAAAUACCCCUAACAAAAAAGCCCUAAUUUUUUGAAUCUGACUUUUGAACCCUAACUUUGGCCAAGUUCUUCACAACACUUUCUGGGCUUUUUUCCAGGGGUAUUUUAGCUCAAGGAUGGCGGCUUUUGAAGGUUUACAGCAGCAGCUUGUGAGGUAGACCGUUGUUAGAGAGAGAGGUAGAGAGAGAGGGGGGGGGGGAGAGAGAAGAGAGCUUCGGUUCAAAGAAGAAAGUGGCGGUGGGGAUAGAUUUUUUGCUCGUCAAAAUUUUUAGAUUUUAGGUUUCCAUGUACACCUCAUUAAAACGACAUAGUUUCUAGAUAAUUUAAUUUAAUUUUUAAUAAUUAUUGUUUGUUAAGUUAAAAUGAAACUUGUGGUUUGGUGACUUAACGUUUAAAAUUAAAAAACUAAAGUUCAGAAGUCUGUGGUUCGACUCCUAGUGGAUACAAAAUUAAAAUUUUAUUUUUUUAAUUACUGAUACCUUAAUGUCACAUAUUUGUGAUACUUAAUUUACAGAAACUAUAGUAUUGAAAAUUUGUGAUACUUAUCUGUUAAACACAGAAAAUGCCCCAAAUGCAUGUAAUUACUGAUACUUUUUAAUUAAGUGUCACAAGAUAAGUAUCAGUAAAGACCAUUUUUCUUGUCAUGGUUAGACUAAGCAGUCUCACACAUGCAUAGAGUGAAGAUUGUCAAAAUUGUUGGAGAAUUUGAAGGAUAAAACACACAUUUUUAUUAAAGAAGCUCUGGAACAUUAUAAGAACAAUUCAUACCCUCACAAAUCACUUUCAAAAGCUUUGUUUUGCUUCUUAUGCUCUCUUAUUUUAUGCUUGAUGCAUACAACACAAAUGACAAUGGUAUUUAUAGUACCCAAAAUUUAAUUAUAACCACACACAUAAACUAAAUAAAUUUAAUCAGAGCCACUCUUUUAUUCUCAACCGUCACACUAAUUAUCAACCUAACUCAUUGUACUUCACCUACUUCAGCAACCACACCAACUAGACCAGCUACUUAAGCUCACAUAACUUAGAAAGUUCUAUGAGAUAUGCUAAGCUUUGUGUUUUUUGGACUUGGAUAAAAAAACGUUUAUGAUCUAACACCCUCCUUAAACUUAAUUUAUAAAACCUAGUAAAGUUCUCAACGUGAAGAACUUUUCUUGCUUUAGUGGCUUGGUAAGGAUGCCAGCAAUUUGAUCAUGUGAUUUGUCAUACUUUGCUUGUAUUUCUUUUUUGUUAAUACACUUCCAUAUGAAAUGGUAGCAAAUGUCAAUAUGCUUAUUUUGAUCAUGGAAGAUAUGAUUUUUAACUAAGGCAAUUGCUGAUUUUUGUCAAUAAAAUCUCUAUAGGUUCUUGUGACAAACCCAACUCCUUCAAUAAAUUCCUUAGCCAGAUUACAUGACAAAUGCUUGAUGCAGUAGCCACAUACUUAGCUUCAGAGGUAGACAGUGUAACAGUGGGUUUCUUUUUCGACAUCUAUGCAAAAGUAGUGUCAUCCAAAAAGGACAUAAAUCCUAUGGUGCUCUUUCGAUCAUCUAUAUCUCCACCCCAAUCACUGUAGUUAUCUACAACAAGCUUGUAGUCAUUAAAGAAUGGGUAUAACAAUCCAAAAUCAAUUGACUUUUGAUAUAGCAAAUGCUUUUUUUUUGCAGCCUUAAAAAGAGUGGUCUUUGGAUUCUCUAUGUAUCGACUCACAAAUCCAACAAUAUAAAGGAUGUCAGGUCUCGUACAUGUUAAGUAAUAUAGACUUCCAACAAUACUUUUGAAAAGAGUUGGAUUUACUUUUUCUCAUUUGUCAUACUUGGAAAACUUGACUUUGUACUCCACUCAUGUACUUAUUGAAUUGCAAUCAUUCACCUUGAACUUCUUAAGUAUCUCCUUUGCAUAGCUUUCUUGUGAAAUGAAAAUGCCAUCUUCUUGUUGCUUGACUUCAAUGCCCAAGUAGUAUGCCAUCAACUUAACUCAUUCCACUUUACCUACUUCACCAACCACACCAGCCAUACUAACUACCUAAGCUCACCUAACUUAGAAAGUUCUAUGAAAUGGGCUAAGCUUUGUGUUUUUUGGAAUUGGACACCCUUUAAACUUGUUUUAUAACACCUAGAAAAGCUCAAUCUGAAGAAGUCUUCUUAUUUUAGUGGCUUGGUAAGGAUGCCAACAAUUGAUCAUGUGAUUUGUCAUACUUGUAAUUUUUUUUUUCCAAUGCACUCCCAUAUGAAAUGAUAGCAAUUGUCAAUAUGCUUAUUUCUUAAUUUAAUUUAACUUCUAUUUUUUUAAUUAGACCUAUUAUGUUUUUUCAUUUAACUUAUAUAUUUUUUAAUUUAAUUUUAAUUUAGUAAAUAAUUUAAUUAAAAAAUAAUGCGAUUCGAAUAUCUAGUUUUCUGGAUGUAUUUACAUCUGAAUCCGGAUCCAGAUCCGUAUGGAUCCUAAUUUUAAGGAUCCAUAUCCGCAUUUUUUAAUAUGCGGAUCAUGAUUUUUUUGGAUUAAGAUCUUCUGGAUCUUUACAGAUCCAGAUAUUUUUGCCAUCCUUAUUCUGUUAUUCUUGGAGCUUUUUCCCUUUUUCUUUGGAUCGGCAUCCAUCUUGAGGAGUUGUUCUUCGAUCCCAUGCUUUUUUUGUUUUUCUUUGUAGGCUUGCAACCUACCUUGAAGUUACUUGAUCGUCAUAGCCUCCAAAUCUUUUGUUUCUACAAUUGUCACAACAAUAUGAUGAAACUUCAAAUCCAUCAAACAAAGUAUCUUUUCAAUGAUCCUUACCUCUUUAUCUCCUUACCAUUUUCUUCUAAUUCAUUGGAAACAAUCACAACCCGAGUAAACUAGUCAAAAAUUAACUCGGAUACCGUCAUGUGUAAGGACUCAAAUUCUUCCCGUAACGUUUGAAGACGAACCUUCUUAACUUGUCCAGCUCCUUUGCAAGUGGUUUCUAGCUUCUCCCGUGCUUCCUUUGAGAAGGUUGCUCCAACAAUAUUUUCAAAAGCAUCUUUAUUUAAUGAUUGAAAGAUGAGACAUUUCACUUUAUUCUUUUUUUUUUAAAUCUUUUAAACUCUCCUUUUGUGUUGCACAUAAAGUUGCUUUAUUUUCUAGCACAAAAAAGCCAUUUUCCACGACUUCCCACACAUCUGUGCACUUGAUAGAGCCUUCAUUUUGAUACUUCAUUUGUCAAAUUUGUUUCCCUUUAAUUGUGGAACUUGGAACGACAUCAUAUCACUAUUUGCCUUAAUUUACAAAUUCAGUGAGAAUUUGGAGAUUGUAAAUGCAUUGAUGAAUCCGGAACAUCGAAAAACCUUGGGAGGAACUUGGAUCAACUUUCGGUCAAUGGUCAAUUUUUUAUCAAUGGUUAAUGUCAGUCAACAAGUGAUGGUCAACGAUCAACGGCUCAAUUUGGUCUAGUUGAAUUGACUUGGAUCCAACUAGGUUCAGUUCAUCUCGGUCAAUGGUUUGGUUUGGAUUGGUUCAAGUUGAUGAGUCAACUGAGUUUUAGGACAACAAGCUUCUGAUGGUAAUUGCAACAUUGCAUUCCUCUUGUCAAGCUCUUUGAUUUGAUAUGCUACACUACUAUGUAAAGCACCAAUUACUAUCUCUCUGAUACCACUUUAUUGAAGAAUUUAAAGAAUAAAACAUAAAUGUUUAUUAAAGAAAGCUCAAGGACAUUACAAGAACAAUUCACACUCUUACAAAUCACUCUUAGAAGCUUUGUUUUGCUUCUUGUGCUUUCUUUUUUAUAGACUUGAUGCAUACAACACAAAUGACAAGGGUAUUUAUAGUAUCCAUGACUUAAUUAUAACUACACACAUAAACUAAACAAAUUUAAUCACAACCACUCCUUUAUUCUCAAUCAUCACACUAAUUAUCAACCUAAUUCAUUCCAUUUCACCUAUUUCACCAACCACACCAAUCAUACCUACCACCUAAGGUCACUUAACUUAGAAAAUUCUAUGAGAUGAGCUACGCUUUGUGUUUUUGGGACUUAGAGAAAAAACAAGUUUAUGAUCGAACAAAAAUUACACAUUGGAAAUGAGGGUCAUAUUAUAUUACAUCAUAUAUAAAAUAAAAUAACUCUUGCAUUGUCAUCCAAAACUUAAAAAUUAUAGUAUGUGAAACAAUUGAAUAGUUAUAAACGAGAAUGCAUGAUUUACUAUGUAUUACGGGUAUGUUUGGUACAUUGCAUUAUGAGGUAUUAAAAUAUUGUUCACAUUAAAUUAAUGCUAGUGCUAUGUUUGGAAGAGCAUGGGAACGGGUUAAAGGGGCUGUUGCUGCAUUAGCUUGCUUUUUUUGUUUUUUUCUUUUGCUUUUGCUUUAUAAUAAUAAUAAUAAAUAAAUAAAACUUUUUUAAUUUAAUAUAAAAUUAUAAUUUUUUUAUUUUUUAUUUUACAUUAUAAUUUCUUAAUGAAUUUAUAAUUUAUUAUAACUAAUAAUAAAUAUUUAAAUAUGAAUAAAUUUGAAUAAUAUUAAUUUAAAAAUUAAUAAUAAUAUAAAUAAAAAUAUAAGAUAUUGAUACAAUUUAAAUAUAUUAAUAAAAUAUAAUAUAUAAUUUAAAUUAAUCACAAAACAUUAAUAUAGUACAGUGUAGCACCAAAUAUUGUACAACAUUAUUAUAAUACAGUGCUAAUACAAUACAAUAUAAUACAAUACACUAAUAUUAAAAUAAUGUAAUAUAACAUAAUAUAAUACAAUGUGGCAAACACACCCUCAUUAUAUGUACAAUAGUUUACCCCCAAAUAUAAUAAUUAAAAUUAUAAACAAAGAACAAUUGUUUAUCCCUCGUGACAAUUAAUGCAAAUGGCUUUUCAAUCAAAAUUUCAUCAAUGUGAAUUUAAGCAUUUUCUUUUCCUUUUAAAUGUUUGAAAUCUUUUACAAAUAAUUUUAGCCAUGAGAUGUAAGCCACUAGCCACAGUAGCAGCUAGUAGCAAGAGAUGCUGGAGAACAAAUGUUGCAAAAGACGAACCAUAUUUCGACAAUUCAAGCCACGUUUUUCACAUGAAACAUAUAUGUGACUGUCACAUCGUCAUUAAAUGGUUGAAUACUAUCCGAGGAAUUAUUAAUAGGCGAGGGCUACCUUUCAGUUGUGGUAAGAUGCAGCCCUCUCACAUGAACAAUAUCUACCGUGAGCCUAAAUGAGAUUCAUGAUCCCGUUUAUGAGAGAAUUGCACUAUACAGCACCUGUACUAUAACAGACUCCUUAUUAAUAUUAUUUGACGAUCCUUACCUACAAUAUUUAGUUAAAUCAAUGAGCCAUGGGCCUAACACUUCAGCUUAUAAUUUAUAAGUAUUCAAUUAAUUAUUAGUCAAAUCAGUGAGACUUGGGCCCAAUACUUUAGCUAAUAAUUUGUAAGUAUUCAUUUAAUUAUUAGUUUAUCUUCAAUUAUUUUGUGUACUUUUUUUCUUUAAAAUAAUAGGAAUAGGAACGUGAUAAAACAUCAAGAUCAAACUUUAUUUGCCCGCAAGAACAUGUUUUUUUUUAAAAAAAAUAAAGUAACGAAUCUCCUUUAACCCUGAAGACAAAAUGAAUCAUAUUUAGCCGAGCUUUUAAUUUAUCUGCUUUUAUUGCUAUAGAAUCGGCUUUUGAUUGAGGAUGGCAUAAUCUUUGGCUUAAAGUGUGAUUCAACAGCGGUUGUUAGUUUCCUACUUAAGGGUUUUUGGAUGUCUCAGAAAUCAUUUGUGGACUGAAAGGUUAAGCUCUUACGAUGAAUUUUAAUAUGUUGCACUCACACUUGAAGAGAAAAUAACAAGGUGGCUGAUUGAUUAUACUGUAAAUCCCGGUUUCUAGGGUUUUAAUUUAACGUGAUGGCAAAGCGCACCUAUUUCUGCGCAAAAAUUACUUUAUCCCAAUUAUUGGUUUAGUUGAUUUGUGCUUCUUGCUUUCGUUUAGGGAGUUAAUCUUUUUCUUUUCUUUCUUUUCGUUUGAUGCUAUCUUCUUGCUUAGGGAUGAGACUUACUAUAUCCUUACUGAAUUAAACAGACAUGAAUUGUGUUAUGACAGUUCAGUUUAGGCAAUUAAAACUAUAUGAUUCAUAAAUCUCUUAAUCAAUUGGUUUUUAUUUUGGAGGAGAAAAAUUAAAAAUCAAAAAGUAAAAAUAGAUUUUAUGUUAGUAAAUAUAAGUGAUUACUAAUGUGAUAGUAGGCAAUUUAUUUAAUUUGUUUUAUUGUUGGUAUUUGGCUCACUUUGAGAGAUAAUAUAAGUACAGUAGAUGUGGAUGUUUCUUUAUUUUUUUUAAUGGCCCUUACGGAAGUCGGAAUCGAACUCAAACUGAAAUUUUGUAAAUCAAAUACUAACUACUAGAACAGAAUUGAACUAAACUGAAUCAAAUUAAUUUAAUUCAGUUGUGUUUGAUUCAGGUCUAUAGUUUAAUUUGAUUUUGUAUGACAAGUAAUUUUACAUAACAUAAUAAUAAAAUACUAUUGCCACAACAAGAGUCUUAAGUCCAUAAAUUUACAAAUAAUAAAGAACAUUAUAAAGUCGAAUAAGUUAAUAUAAUAAAGUCCAACAUAAAACAAAUUUAUAUAGACUUGAAAUCUACUACAAAUGACAAAUCCACAAUAAUAAAUAAAAUAGGAAAGCAACAACACAAAAUCACAUAUAAAAGAUACUUCAAAGUUCCAUUGCUAAUUAGCCAUCGACAUUCACAAAUUCUUGGAGGCUGCCUUCAAUGACCUUCACCAAGCAAUCCUCAACUUAUCAGCCCAAUUAAUUAGGAAUAGCGCUGAUCCACCUGUUACUAUCCAAGCAAAGGAGUCUUUGCAUCCAUUAUUGGCGAAAAGCUUAGCGGCAACUACUAAAUUAACCAAAAGAUACACACAUAAUUCUCGUUUAUAUUUGAAUCUAAGUAGGGAUAAAAAAAAAAAAAAAGUCCCAAGGCAGCCGUGGUCCGAUUGAUCCGACUCUAAAUUUUAGGGUUUUAACCUAAAUUUAAAAGUUAAGGGUGGACUAAGACUCAAGGAGUUAGGUGUUGAAAAUAAUAAACUUGUUUUAGACAAGUAAUUCAUUUAAGUGGAAUGAAGUGUUAAGUUGCACAUGGCCCUUCUUCAUUCUCCAUCAACAUGGUCCUACCAUGUUAUGUUCAUGAAGCAUCUAAUUGAAUGGAGAUAAGCUUUACAAUUUGGAUGCCAUUGAAGGAUUCCUUUAGAGCAUGUUAGGUGAAGUGGUGCUAUGAUGAAAGUUUGGCGGAACAUGUUAGGUGAUGUGUAUUGUUACGAUUAUGUUUGUGUUUCAUUCACUACAAAUACCUAUGUCAUUUGUGUUGUAUUCAUCAAGUGUAAGAAGAAAAAAGAAUAAGAAGCAGAACAUAGCUUCUAAGAGUGAUUUGUGAGGAGUGUGUGAAUUGUUCUUGUAGUGCUCUUGAGCUUUCUCCAAUAAAUUUGUGUUUUAUUCUUUAAAUUCUCCAACAUUAGGGCCUAAUUACAUUCAAGUUAAGAUUAUGACAUCACUAAAAAGCCCUGAUUUGACCCUUGGCCCUUAAGUUAAAUUUUAAAACAUCUCAGCUAACGUGAAUGGGGCUCGCCCCUUACAGUAUUGAUCCUCCAAAUAUCUCAGCUAAAUAUGAGCUAGUGGGCUGAUGAAUCGAUUAAGAUGAGAUCAUGCAUGCAAGCGGUGGAGAGCCACCGAUAUCAUAACAAUUGGCACAUUUUAUCUUUGCUAUUGUUGAAUACAUUUGUCCCACGUCAUUGAAUCGGAUCUUGUAUGCUCCCACGUAAAUCGUACAAUUGAAAUACUGCUAAAAAUAUAUAACUAUGAAAUUAACUAUUAGUUUAUUUACAGUUAUUGUGUAUUUUUAUUGCUAAUUAGUAGGAACGAUAUCUAAGCCCUAAUCGGACUCACAAUAUUUGUGAUAGCGAUCGAAAUCCAUAAUCUUUUAAUGAUAUUUCAGCCAUUGAUCAAGUCUGAGGAAACUUCAGCCGUUGAUCAUUAUUUACGGUGCAUGCACUAACUACGCCCCAACCACCCAUCUUCAUUCUAUAUAAUUAAUCCAAAAAUAAUUUAGAUUUAGCAUUGAGUUGAUUUUUUACUAAAUUUUUUUUUAAAAAUACAAUUAGUAGUUACUGAAUAAGAAUAUAAAACUAAUUAAAUCUUAGCUAAGGGCGAAAAAAUGAAUAAAUGAUUCAAAUUCAAAUCAAAUCGUAAAAGAAUUGGGUUAAAACUCUGCUGAUUCGUUCGCUUAUUAAACGAAUAUUCAGUUCAAUUCAUUUAAUUUGUUUAAUAGAAUUAAUAAAUUGAUCGAAUCAAAUCUGAUUCAUCAAUAUUUGUUUAUCCUAUAAAGAAUAAUAAAUUAAUUUUAAUUCAUAUACUUUGUCUUAUUACCAUUUAUAAUUACUAUAUUAGCCUUCAAACUUUAAAUUUUUUUCAUAUAUAUUUAAGGAUAACUAAGUAAUUUAAUUAAACGAAUAAUAAAUAAAUUUUAAAUAAAUGGAUCGUAUUUAAUUCAUUUUUGACCCAUUUAUUAAAUGAAUACUAAUGAAUAAAUAAAUUAAUAUCCUUAAACCCAGACUCGAUUAGUUGAAUUAACGAAUUGCAUCGAAUUCAAUCAUUUAUUAAACGAAUCAAUUUUUUCAAAAGCAAACCCAUUUAAUUCACAUAAAAUUGAAUUGAAGAAAUGAAUUCUAAUCUAGAUUCCCACUCCUAAUCUUAAAUUGUAUGUUACUAUAUAUGCCCAUUUGGUAGAAAAUAUUGAAAGGUUGAGCACAUGUCAGCUGAACAUUAGAUUCAAUCCAAACAAAUGAUUUAUCUAGAAAUUAAUUAUGAUUUGAUCUAGAAAUUUGUGGCCGACCAUCUUCCCAUGUUGAUCACUUCCCAUCACCUAAAAGCUAAGCAAGUUAAAAAGAUAAUAAUUUAGCUAAUAAUUCAUAACUAUCAAAUUGACUAUCAGUUUGUCUCAAUUAUUUUGUGUACUUUUAUUAUCAAUUAAUGGGAACGUGAUCUUGCCCGAAUCGAUGUAGUAACUUCAAUGUUAACAUUCGCGCGACAGUGCGGCCUACUUGAAUGUACAUAUACCAUGUCGUGCCAGAAGCAAAAGCUCACUCAACUACUAGCUACUUGCUUCUAACUACACACACAGGGAGAGUUCUUUUCUGAAAUAGUGAAGAACAUGGAAGCUGCUUUUGCAGGUACUUUAAUUUAGAAUAAGUCCAUGUGAGUUCCAUUUCUAUUCUUACAUUAAUAAUAUGUCAUUUAUGAAUAAGUUUUCCAUUAUCAAAUUUUCAGGAAAGACAGAAUGGUUGGAGACAUUUGUUAUCAAGGAGGGCUAUCCACGUGCAUUUACAAGUAUUCUUGUUGUUGAUAUGGAUGAAGAGAAUCUUAAUCUUCUUAUAGUUCCUCAAUAUGGAAGAAAUCCUAACAAGACUGGUUAAGUGGCUAAAUUUCACUUGAUUAUAAUUGAGAAAUGUUAUCCUUCAAAAAGUUUGUAUUUUUUUUUUUCUAUAUAAAAUGACGCUGUCAUUUUGUCAAAAGGAAAUACAAACUUUAUAAGAAAAAUGUUAUUCACAUGUGUUUUAUUUAAAUAAAUAAAAGGACAUGUACUAUUGGUCCAUUGUGUGAGUACAAUUUUUGUUCAACUAAUAAUAGGAUCUCUUGUGAUGUACAAGAGAUUUUCUAAUUACAUUUAUGUGAUUUGAUAUUCCUUAAUAUUACAUAAAAAAUAAGUUGUAUGUUAAUGAUUCAUUUAUUCAUUUUCUGUGAAACCCCAAAGAAGUAGGAAAAUUUUAUUGGAGAAAAAAAAAAUAAAGUUACAAGGCUAAAGAGAAGCAAAUAAGUAGUAAUACUACAGAUGAAUCUCAAUCAAUGUGGUAUUCAUUUAAUAGAUGAUAAAAUUAAACUAUCUAAUAGAUGAAUGACAUAUAAAUAGGAUCCUAAUCAUUAGUGAACAAAUAAAUCAGGAAAGCUGCAGGAGCUUUUUUUUUUUUUUUUUUUUUUUUGAAGUUGGAGAGUGGGCAAAGCGGCAGCAACCUCCUUGAUCAUCUCUAAAAUUUACCAGAAUACUCAUAGAAACAUACUUAAAUCUGCAUUAGAUGUUUGCAAAAUCUAAAUUUCAGAUUUAAUCUUUCUUGGUUACAAAGCUGUUAUUGAAUUCUGUAACCGAAAGGUUCAAUAAAGCCAGCAGCAAUUGUAAAUUAUCCUCUUAAAGAUUUCUUUAUUUAAUAACACACUUGAUGGUAACAGAAAAAUUAUGGUUUGCCACCAAAAAGAAAAACUAAAAGUAAAUUAUUAGAGAUUUUGUUUUUUGAAUUAUAUCAGAGUUCACAUAAAUUUAUACUCUCAGGGAAUCUAGGUAAUAGUAAUAAUUUUUUAUUUUAGAUUUUAUUAGUGCAAACUAUAAUUUUGCCUUUAAGAAUCUAGACUUAAUGGUAGCAGAGGUUACAUCGUAGGUAUUUUGAAGUAUUUUUCAAAAUAUAAAGACUAAAAAGGGACUAAUAUCAAAAUAUAGUGACUAAAUGAGAUUGUACCGUAAUAAAAUUAAUAAGAAAAUAAUAAUAAUAAUUUAUAUAAUUAAUCUUUUGGGCAAUAAAUCUAAAAAAAAGGUAAAAAGAAUUUAUUAAAUUUUAUUUACUACUAUGAGUGAAUCCAUAACCCUAACUAAUUCAAUUUCAUAGUUUCAUUUAAAUUAAGUUGUUUAUAUUCAAGUUUUAUUUUCAAUUUUUAGAUAAAAUAAAAUAGACAAAUUAAAUAUUUUCUCUGUGGAUCGACCUCGGACUCACCGAACUAUAAUAUAAUAAGACACUCUUAUACUUGAGAGUUAGAAAUCACUUUUAAAUUGUGUUACCUUACUGUAGAAGUUGUUGCUUCAAAGCAAAAUUGGAUAGCAUGAAACUAUGGGUGUUCAGAAUCCAAUCCGAUCCGCUCAAUCCGUUUGAUUAGUGAAAAUCCGAUCUGUGGAUUGGAUAUGGAUUGAAAAUUUAAAAAUCCGCAGUCAAUGGAUUGGAUAUGGAUUUACUUCUGCAAAUCCGUAAAAAUCCGUGAAUCCGCAAAAAAAAAUUUAAAAAAAAAAUAUAUAUAUUUAUUUAUUUAGUUAAAACAUUAUUAUAAAUUUAAUUAAAGAAUAUUAUAAAUGUGACAUUAUAUAGUUACAUAAGCACUAUAACAUAUCUUAACCAUUACCUAAUAAUAAUAUUAAAUAAAAAAUAAUCAAAUAUACAAAUAGAACUUGUAAAAAAAUUGUAAAACAAAAUAAAAGCAAAGUCACACGCACUAGCAAAAGCAAAGUAACAUAAUGCUAAGUUACCAACAAUUUGCAAAGUCACCUAAAAGCAAAGUAAUGUAACGCCAAGUUACCAACAAUUUGCAAACAAAAAACCCUAAGCUUCCCCGCCAUCACACGCACUAGCAACACCCAAUAUUGGUUUAAUACACUCUUGACACCGAUUUGAAGGACAUCGGCCGCGUGAUUCCAACAAGAGAAAUCCAUCUUCUUCCCCGAGUCCAUCGAGCCACUUCACAAUCACUGGUUCUAGCCAAAUAAUUGCACUAUCACAACCUUCAAGAUCGCCACCCGUACUUCUCCUGGUUCCCAUCGUUGACGGCUCCGUAAUCACCACUUUUUGACAAGUGCAAUAGUCCUGGUGAAGGAUCAGACUGUGUUUGGUUUCAAAAACUUCGUCAUUUCAAUUAAUUGUGGCUUUAUUUGAACAAUUAAUUUCAGUGUUAUAUUAAUGUAUUAUGUAACUUUAUUUGAACAAUUAAUCUUAGUGUGUUAUAUUUUGAAACUUUAAACGUAUUAUUGUAGCUUUAUUUGAACAACUAAUCUCGAUGUGCUAUAUUUUGAAACAUUGAAUGUAUUAUUUUAGUUUUAUUUAAACAAUUAAUUUGUUUAAAUUUUAUUCAAUUUUAAAUUUAAUUGAUAGUAAAAUUAUUUUUAUAUUAGAUUUUUUUAAAAAUUUCAUUAGUUCAUGGAUUGGGGAGAACUAAAAAUUUUUAAUUCGGAAACUAAUGCGCAAAAUGGUUGAUUGGAUAUGGAUUAAGUUAAAUCCGCAUCCAAUCCGCAGACGUAUGGAUUGGAUAUGGAUUUAGUCAAAUCCACAUCCGAUCUGCAGAUGUAUGGAUUGGAUUUGGAUUAAGUUUAAUCAAUCCGUGGAUUUGAUUGGAUUGAAAAAUUAUAAUCCGCAAAAUUAUGGAUCGGAUAUGGAUUGAUGUCUAAUCCGUAAAAUCCGAUCCGUAAACACCCCUACAUGAAACCAUCACAUUCCUACAAUUAGACAAACAAUUUAGUGGAUAAUGUAUUAGUCGUUGCUUCAAAAUGACGGCAGGAGACAAACAAAUAAAAUUAUAUUACUUGUUGCUUCAAAACGAGAGCAGGAUGAGGAAAAGCAACUGAUAAUGUGGUAGAAAAGGCUCGUCAGAUUUAUGUCGAAGGUUCGAGCUCACUUUGAGGCUGCCAAUGCUAAGUUCAAGACUGAGGUAGAUAAACACCAACGUAAGAAGGUGUUUCAGGAAAUACACUCAACACAUCACUUAGAAAUUCAUGAAAAAAAAUUCUUCUUUCAAAAAGCUCUCUCUCUUCUAGAGAGGCUUGAAUGAAAGUAUUGAGGGGUCGUAAGGAUUCAUGUGGUCACUCCCUGUGAGUGGAAUGUAAUCCAAAAAGUCAGCUUUUGGGGUUGGUGAGCUAGUUGAGAAAGCCCGAAAGCAACGUUAGUGUAGGGCGUUGAGGCACGAAUUAAAGUUAGUGAGCCUAAAUAACUUACUCCCUGUCCAAGCAUUAACUACCAUGGAUACUGAAGAACUAAUCCCCAAGUGUAAAGCAAUAACUAUCAGAGAGGAAGAUAAAGCCAAAAUAACGCUGGAGAUGAAUUUGAAAAAUAAGAAAGAACAAAUGAUGGCAUGAUGCUUAGUGGGCAAAGUACUUCUCACAAAGGGAGUAAACAAAGAUGGACUUAAGGCUGCGUUACAGCAGGUGUGGAGGACUUUCAAAGAAGUCAAGAUCGAAAGCGUGGAGAACAACAUCUUCAUGUUCAAAUUUGCUGAAGAAUCAGACAAAAAAAGAGUGCUAAAAGGGGGACCGUGGCACUUCGACAGGGCUUUGAUUGUUCUCGCUGAGCCAAGGGGGAUUGCGGAAGUCGCAAAACAAGCCUUUACCCAUACAUUCUUUUGGGUGCAGAUUCAUAAUGUCCCACUGGCGUGUAUGGAUAAAGAAUUUCUCCAGGACUUGGGCGGGAAGAUUGGGUAAGUAGAGGAGGUUCAAAUAGAUGAUAAUGGAGAUUGCAUUGGGGAAUUUGCCAGAAUAAGAGUCUCAAUUAACAUAACACCGCCGCUAGAGAAGAUUUUAUUUCUAAAGCAGGAAGGUGAAUGAUAAGUUCAUAUUUCUCAUAUAUUUUGUUAUUAAUUUCUCUGUCUUUUUCUUGUUUUGAUCUUAAAUAUUCUAGUUAUUUUAGUUAAAUUUUAAUUGAAUAGGGAAUUAAUUAAUAUACAUAUUUUACCCUUUUAUUAUAUAUUUACUAGUUAUUUUUAUUUCUUAUUUUUAAUUAAUUGUAUUAUUUUAUUGAAUAGAGAAUUAAUUGGAGAUUGUGGAUAAAAAAGGCAUGAAGAAAUUCAAAUUGAGAAGGAAUAAAUAUUAAAUUGGAAGACAAAAAUACAGUCAAGAAUUGAUAGAACCGAGUGGAAGAAAUCAAAGCAAUUAAUCCAAUUGAGAAAUGUUGAAUAAUUAAAAGAUUUAAUUUUUCCAAUUGGCAAUUGGAGUGCACUUGCAUGUCAUUGCAAAAGUGGAAAGCAAUUUAAACGGGUCCACAAUUGACUUUCAAAAGUUGGAAUUAAUGGCUUUUGGUGGCAUUAAAUUGGAAAAGGAUUUCAAUUAGAAUUGAAAAAGGAUUUCUUUACUCUUGUUGGAGAAGAAUUCGGUCAACUAGCAUUAUAAAAGGGGAGCUGCUGGAUGGAAACGGAGGAGGGCAGAUGCAAUUCGGCAGCAAGAGGAAAAUCAACAACCGCAAGAAGAAGAAAAAAAUCAGCAGCUGGAAUUAAAUUGAAGAAAAAGGCAGCCGCUUGAAUUAAUCUCCAUGAUUGGUUUUGUCAAUUCUCUUAUUCCCAAUUCAAUUAUGUUAGGCUAGAUUUUUAUUUGGUUGAGGGUGAAUUCAAAACCCUAAACAUGCUAUGCAAUUAAAUUUAAAUUCUAUAAUUCAAUUUAUUUAAUUGAGAUUGUUUAUGUUCUUCUAUAAUUAAUGUUCAUGGUUUAUUCUUGUUUUAUUUGAGUGGCCAAUUAGAUAGGACUUGAAUAAAUUUUAUUGCUAAAUUAAAAUUCUUGAUCCAUAAUUGUCUUGAUAUUUUAAUCAUUAGUAGCAGGUUGGAAUCAAUGAUUUUGAUUGAAGAACAUAACUUAGGUUAAAUAAUCCGAGCUUGUGUGUUUAUUGCCUAGAUCAACCUAAUAUCUUUCUUUGUUUAAUACUUCCAUUAUCUUAAAUUUAAAGAGCUUGUUUUAAAUUAUUUAAUGAUUAGAGAUUAGGUGAAGAGCUUGUUUUGCCUAACAACACACUAAGGAAAGAUUGAGACUAACAGAGCUUAUUGUUGUCUACGGUUGAUAGUUUCAAUAUAAAUUGAUAAUAGAAUUGAUAUAUUAUGUGCAUGUUUGGUGGUGGCGAAUGAUCCUUUAACCAAAGUUUUCAUCAUUAUUAUUUCUUUCUCCUUUAAUUAGAGUUUUUUUAUUAAAUUCUUGCUCGUAGUUUUAAUUUCUUUACUUCUUACUAUUUAGUUAAAAAUUCAUAAACCCCCUUUUUAUUUAUAAUUGGCAUUUUCUUUAGUUAGAUUAAUUUAUAUUAUUAUUACUCUUAUUAUUACUACUAUUAUUUUAUUUCAAAUCUUGCUUUAGAGUUAAUAAUAAAUAUAACUACCAUAGUAGUUGUGGGAUCGAUCCUUACUCGCUCUGUACUAAUUAUUUAUAUUAGUGGUAAUGUUUUAAAUUUGAUAAACCUUAACGACACUACCAAAUUUUUGGCUCCGUUGCCGGGGAUUAGCGUCUAGUUUGUUUAUUAUCACUCUUUUUAUUUUAUUAUUUUUAUUUCUUUUCUCAUUUUAUUUAUUUAUUUUAUUUUAAUUAGUUAUUUUUUGUUCUAUAUUUAGAUUUUCAUGAGCAUAGAGGACAUUCGAUUGAAACUCGAACAACUUAGAGGAACCUCAUCAUAUUUAGAACUCGAUUUUGCCAUCCACAUUCCACUCCCGAAGACAGAGCCAAGCAGCCUAGAACCCGAACCAAUGGCUCAAAAUAACAACCGAAGACUUAAAGAGUUGGUAGCUCCUAACUUGGACCAGCAACCCUUAUGCAUUGAGAAUCCAAACCCUUAGGUAAAGUUUGAACUCAAAUCUGGGAUGAUUAAUCUUCUUCCUACUUUUCAUGGUCUUGCAGGAGAGGAUCCAAAUAAGCACUUGAAGGAGUUCCAUGUGAUCUGCUCCACAAUGAAACCAACCGGAGUUUCUGAAGAGCAAGUUAAGCUAAUGGCCUUCCCAUUCUCUUUGGCGGAUUCAGCCAAGGAAUGGUUGUACUAUCUCCCCUCUGGUAUUGUCACUACAUGGAAUGAGAUGCGUCAGCUAUUUUUGGAGAAAUAUUUCCCAGCAUCAAAAGCUGACAGGAUUCAGAAAGAAAUUUGUGGAAUCCGACAGUAUAAUGGAGAGUCACUCUACGAUUAUUGGGAAUGAUUCAAAAAGCUAUGUGCUAGUUGCCCUCACCAUCAGAUAAGUGAUCAACUUCUUAUUCAAUACUUUUAUGAGGGUCUACUACCUAUGGAUAGGAGUAUGAUUGAUGCCGCUAGUGGAGGAGCACUCGUGGAUAAGACACCAGAAGCAGCCCGAAAUCUCAUUGCUAACAUGGCUGCUAAUUCCCAACAGUUCAACACUAAGAAUGAUCUACUACCGCCACCUAAGCGAGUCAAUGAGGUAAGUACUACUUCCCUAGAACAACAAGUUGCAAAUCUUACUUUGGUGCAACAAUUAGCUCUAGGGCAACAAAUGAGACAAUGUGGCGUAUGUUCUAUGGUCGGGCAUGCGACUGACAUGUGCCCUGCCAUCCAAGAGGGUUCACAUGAGCAGGCCAACACAGUUGAGGGGUUUCUAGGCCAACCAAGAUAAAGGUAUGAUCCCUAUUCUAAUUUUACAAUGAAGGGUGGAAGGAUUACCCUAAUUUUAGGUAUGGGAACCAACAACAUGGCAUUUCUAAUGUGGCACCGUCUCGACCACCGGGCUACCCCCAACACCGGGUGCAACAACCUUACCAAGUUCGGCCACCUCCACCUCCUUAAAAUCAAGGUACGUCUUUAGAAGAUCUUGUAAAAGCUCUCGCUACUAACUCUAUGCAAUUCCAAUAGACUACCCAGACACAGCUCCAACAUUUAGAGAAUUAAAUUGGCCAACUGGCCAUAUCUAUGAGUAGGAUAGAGGGUAGAACUUCAGAAAAGUUACCUUCUCAACCAGAAAUUAAUCCAAAGGAGAAUGCUAAUGCUAUGUCUCUUAGGAGCGGAAAACAAUUGGAACCAUUUUUAGCUAAGCCAUCAAAAGUAUCCACAACAUCAUCGCCCUCUGUGACCAAUUCCUCCCCUGAGGCUCUUCCUUUAACAAGGAAAGAUGAUUCCCACUCGGCAUUGCCAGUCGAUCCAUCUGGCCAGGUAAGUAUCCUCUCACCUCGAAUUAAGACUCUCUCUAUUCCUCCACCAUUUCCUAGCAGAUUUAAACAAUCCAAGAAAGAGGAGCAAGAAAAAGAGAUCCUUGAGACCUUUUGUAAAGUAGAGGUAAAUAUUCCUCUACUUGAUGCUAUUAAACAAGUGUCGCGUUAUGCAAAGUUUUUGAAGGAAUUAUGCAGCAACAAGCGAAAGUUGAGCGGUAACGAAAAGGUAAGUGUUAGAGAGAAUGUUUCUGCUGUACUUCAAAGAAAACUUUCGCCUAAGUGCAAGGAUCCAGGUACUUUCACCAUCCCCUGCACUAUUGGUAAUACCAUAUUCGAAAUAUGUAUGCUAGAUUUAGGGGCCUCAAUUAAUGUUAUGCCAUAUUCGAUUUAUAACUCCUUGAAUUUAGGUCCAAUGGAAGAAACUGGUAUAAUUAUUCAAUUGGCUGACAGAUCUAAUACUUACCUGAAGGAGGUUAUGGAAGAUGUUCUUGUGCAGGUAAAUGAAUUGGUCUUUCCAGCUGAUUUUUAUAUCCUUGAAAUGGAGGAUGAGUUGUUGCCCAAUUCCACUCUUAUUCUGUUGGGGCGGCCAUUUCUUAAGACAGCCCGAACCAAGAUUGAUGUUCACGAUGGAACCCUCACAAUGGAAUUCGAUGGUGAAGUGAUCCGCUUCAAUAUCUUUUAGGCAAUAAGGUAUCCUAGUGAUGUACAUUCUGUCUUUGUCAUAGAUGAUAUUAAUACUUUGGUGCAGGAUUUCUUUGAAUUAUUCGGUAAUGACAGUUUUAAAAUUGUCAUAAGCGAAAAUCUUACGAAAGAUGAUUCUAAGGAACAUGCAAAUUUGAUAAAGUUGGAUGAUGAGGUAGAGGAAGCUAUGGCGAUCUUAGAUGGAGCAGUCACAUUACGCACCAAUGGGUAUAAUGUUUCUUACCUUGAAUUGCCUUUAUUAAACGAAAAACGUUUACCUUCAAUUGUGCAGGCAUCUACCUUAGAACUUAAACCACUCCCAGAACACCUGCAAUAUAUUUACUUGGGUGAGAAGGAAACACUUCCAGUCAUAAUUGCUAAAACCCUCACCCUAGUUCAACAAGAAAAGUUAAUUAGGGUGCAUCGAGAUCACAAGACGGUGAUUGGCUGGAUCAUUGCCGACAUUAAGGGAAUUAGUCCUUCCAUGUGCAUGCAUCGCAUUUUGCUAGAGGAAGGGUCUAAACCAAUGAGAGAUGCACAACGCCGCCUUAAUCCACCAAUGAUGGAAGUCGUAAAAAAGAAGAUACUGAAACUCCUUAAUAUGGGGAUUAUUUAUCCAAUUUCUGAUAGUAAAUGGGUGAGUCUUGUGCAGGUAGUUCCAAAAAAAUCAGGCAUCACAGUGGUCAAGAAUGAAGAAAGCGAGCUUGUGCCAACAAGAGUUCAAACUGGGUGGAGAGUUUGCAUUGACUAUCGUAAACUGAAUGCAGUCACUCGCAAGGAUCAUUUUCCUCUGCCAUUCAUUGAUCAAAUGCUUGAAAGGUUAAGUGGUUACUCUCAUUAUUGUUUUCUUGAUGGUUGCUCAGGUUAUAAUCAGAUCGUUAUCGCUCCGGAAGACCAAGAGAAAACGACAUUCACAUGCCCCUUUGCAACAUUUGCUUACCGACGCAUGCCGUUUGGUCUUUGUAACGCUCCUGCCACUUUCCAAAGGUGUAUGAUGAGUAUUUUUUCUGAUUAUGUGGAGAACAUCAUUGAGUUAUUUAUGGAUGAUUUUACAGUUUAUGGUGAUUCUUUCGAUAGAUGUUUGGAUAACCUUACACUUGUUCUUAAACGAUGCAUUGACACUAACCUUGUGCUUAAUUGGGAAAAUGUCAUUUUAUGGUUAAUCAAGGUAUUGUACUAGGCCAUGUUAUUUCUGAAAAGGGGAUUGAAGUUGAUAAAUCUAAGAUAGAUCUUAUUCGCUCCUUACCACCUCCCACUAGUGUGAGGGAGGUUCGUUCUUUUCUUGGUCAUGCAGGUUUCUAUCGCAGGUUUAUCAAGGACUUCUCCAAGAUAGCUUUACCUCUCUGUAACUUACUUCAAAAGAAUGCAAUGUUUGACUUCAAUGAAGAGUGCCAAAGAGCUUUUAAGAAGUUAAAAGAGGUUUUGACAUCGGCCCCUGUGAUUCAACCACCAAACUGGGAUUUACCAUUUGAGAUUAUGUGCGAUGCUAGUGACUAUGCUGUUGGAGCCGUGUUGGGCCAGUGUGUGGGCAAGCUUCCUCAUGUCAUCUAUUAUGCCUCUCGUACAUUAAAUGAUGCACAACUUAACUACUCCACCACAGAGAAAGAACUUUUAGCAGUUAUCUUUGCUUUAGAGAAAUUUCGUUCUUAUUUAAUUGGAUCUAUGGUAAUCGUUUACUCUGACCAUGCAGUUAUUAGGUACUUACUCACCAAAAAGGAUGCCAAACCGCGCCUUAUACGAUGGAUACUUCUAUUGCAAAAAUUUGACAUAGAGAUUCUAGAUAAGAGAGGUUCUGAGAAUUUGGUGGCAGAUCAUUUGAGUCGACUUACCUAUAACGAAGAUGCACUUCCAUUGCAUGAGAACUUUCCAGAUGAACAGUUAUUACAUGUAGGUAUAGUUACUCCUUGGUAUGCAGAUAUUGUCAAUUACUUGGUUACCAGGACAGUACCGAAAGAGAUAACCCAUGCACAAAAGGCCAAGAUCAAGAGUGAUGCCAAGUACUAUGUGUGGGAUGAGCCAUACUUGUGGAAGCAUUGUUAUGAUCAAGUUAUUAGAAAGUGCGUACCCGAAACUGAAUUUACUUCUAUUCUCAUCUUUUGUCAUACUUUGGCUUGUGGAGGACAUUUUGGACAAAAAGAACAACCCUUAAGGUACUUGCGAGCAGUUUUUAUUGGCCAUCACUAUUUAAGGACGCAUAUUUGUUUUGCAAAUCUUGUGAUCGUUGUCAGAGAACAGGUAAUUUGGGACCUAGAAAUCAGAUGCCACAAUCUCCCAUUCUUAUAGUUGAGAUUUUUGAUGUUUAGGGCAUCGACUUCAUGGGACCAUUUCCUUUAUCGUUUGGUAAUCUCUAUAUUGUUCUUACGGUUGAUUAUGUUUCAAAAUGGGUGGAAGCAAAAGCCACCCGAACUAACGAUUCUAAGGUUGUGGUAGAUUUUAUAAAGAGUAACAUCUUUACAAGGUUUGGAACACCAAAGGCAAUUAUCAGCGACAGAGGCACUCAAUUUUGUAACAGGUCAAUAGAAGCCCUCUUUCGAAAAUACAACAUCACUUACAAGGUAUCUACAUCUUACCAUCCCCAAACUAGUGGGCAAGUUGAGGUGUCUAAUAGGGAAGUGAAAUCAAUCCUUGAAAAGACAGUUAAUCCGAAUAGAAAGGACUGGAGCUUACGGCUUGAUGAUUAGUAUUAAAAAUUAUUUAAUUAUCAAGCGAUAAUAUGUUAUUUUAUGCUUAUGUUAUAAUUUAUAUUUGUGUUUAUGUAAUAUAUUAUGAAUUAUUAAUUAUGUUUUCAAUAUAUUUAAUUUUGUGUAUUUUUGUGUUUAUUAGGAAAAAUAUUAAUUCCAAACAAAUAAACGGAGGUCAAAUUUGGAUUCUGGAGGUCCGAAAAUCUUAAGAUCAGUCAAGAUCGGCUUAAAAUUGGGCUGUAAAAAAAAGUUGACUUUUCCUGUUGACCGAGCACUAAUUGGAUGAUGAAAUGAGCUUACAAUAGAUAUGAGUGCAUGGGAUAGCUGGCAAUCUAGACUAAAUCUCAACCGUUCAUGAUUUAAUGGCCAUUAUUGUGCCACGUGGCAAUGGUUGGUAAAGCAAGUUGGAGGAUCCGAAUCUUUGUAUUCGGGUCGACCCGAUCCACCCAUUAACCCGCCAAAUCUCAACCAUUCUUUGGGCAAAUCGAACGAGUCAAACGAUGCCACGUGUGAUGUUGACUUUUGAAGUUUGACCAGCCAUUGAAUCUUGAUCUAAAGGUUGUGAGGAGUACAUGCAUAAAGCCUAUGAUGGACCGCAAAGCACUGGAUUAUGAAUUUAUUUUUCUAUAAAUAGAGCCUCAUUUUUAUGUUUUAAUCAUCUCUCUACAACUCUCUUCUUCUCAAAUUCUCUCCAUCUCCUUGUAAUCUUGAUUUCUAGGUGUGUUUUUAAUAUUUUGUAUAAUUAUUUUUAUAAAUAAAAUUAGUUUUAUUUCUAAUUUUAGUUGUUUUUAUUACUUUUAAUUAUAAGUAAUUCAAUUUUACUACUUCUUUUUAUUUUAAUUAUGCUUAACUAAAUAAUAUUAGUUAGGGGAAGGUGAAACUCUUAGGAAAUAAAUAUGAUUUAAUCAAAUUCUAUUUUUAAUUUUAUAAAUUAAAUUAUUUUCUAUUUAAUUUUAUACAUGUUUUAUAUUUUGAAAUUUUGAUUUAUUGUAGACAAACAAAUAAAUUUGGCACAAUAAAUUUUUAAGAUCUUAUUAUAAGGCAUGGUGAAAUGGUAUUUUGACUUAUUGUAGACAAAUUAAAUUUUGGCACAAUAAAUACUUAAUCCAUCAUAAAAUUAAAGGGAAAAUAAUAAUAAUUUGUAUAAUUAAUCUUUUGGGUAAUAAAUCUAAAAAAAAUUGGCAAAAAGAAUUUAUUAAGUUUUAUUUACUUUUAAGAGUGGAUCCAUAACCCUAACUAGUUCAAUUCCAUAGUUUUAUUUAAAUUAAGUUGUUUAUAUUCAAGUUUUAAUUUCAAUUUUUAGAUAAAAUAAAAUAAACAAAUUAAAUUUUUUCUCUGUGGAUCGACCUCGGACUCACCGAAUUAUAAUAUAACAAGACACUCUUAUACUUGGAAGUUAAAUAUUACUUUUAAGUUAUGUCAAGUUUUUAGCGCCGUUGCCGGAGAAAAGUUUUUUUUUUUAUUUGGUUUGUUUUCCUGUUUUUUAUUUUUUCUCUUAUAUGUAAAAUUUCGUUUGCCCCCUUUUUCUUUUCUUAAAUUCGUUUUUGUCCCCAUAUCUAUCAUAAUUCUCGUUUCACCCCAACAAUUCCCGUUUCUAGCCCAAUCUUCUGGUAAUUACAUUCUAACCCCAACAUCUUUCAGUUAUUUCACUUUCAACCCAAAUUGCUCAAUUCUAAACUUUUAAAAAUUAUAGUUUGACCAUAAAAUUAAAAAUAAUUUGCAAUAGAAUCCCCAAAUGAAAUUCCUCGAAAUAAUCAAGACUUGAACAUACUUUGGAUAUAUUUGGACUUAUUUUGGACUUAAUUUGGACCAAACUAACUUUAACUACUAACUCUAAUUACUAACUCUUAACUUACUAACUGCUAACUCCUAACUUUUUUUAAUUUCAGUUAUUUAAUUUUCUGCAUUUAUUUUAUUUCGUAUUUAUUUAUUUAUUUAUUUUUGCUUUAUUGGUGGGUUUAACCAUUAAACUAACUACUGACUCUUAAUUUUUAUUUUCAGUUAUUUAAUUUUUAUUUUUUUUGCUUUAUUUUUUUUAAUUGGUGGGUUCAACCACCAUUUUUUUAUUUUGCAUUUAUUUUACUUUGUUGGUGGGUUCAACCACUAUUUUGUUCUGUUUCUUUUUCUUUCUUUUGCAUUUAUUUUAUACUUAAUUUAUUGUUAAUUGGUGGGUUCAACCACCAAAAUUGUUAUUUAAUUUUCUUUUGUACACUUAUAUUAUUUGCUUAUUUAUUUUAUUUUAUUUUAUUUUGUUAUCAAUUUGUGUAAAUAUUAUCUUUAUAACAUAACCAUUGCAUGAGACGUUGGUCUCGAUCUUCAAGUGGCAGGUUAAUUCGUAGAUCUCAGUCUCCACCACCAAUCAUGGAUGAGAAUCAAGGCGAAAACGUUUUGGGCGAACUUAAUCCUCAAAUUGAUCAGGGAGACAACCAAUCUCAACAUGAGCAUGAUCAAAAUCAACCAAGGACUCUGAGAGACUACAUGAAUCCAACCAGAACCGGAGCACCGUCGUGUAUAGUAUUUCCUCCAGAAUCAUCUCGAUUCAACUUUAAACUAGGUAUUAUCCAACUUUUACCAACAUUUCAUGGUUUAGAAUAUGAGAAUCCGUACUUGCAUCUAAGAGAUUUUGAGGAAGUUUGUAAUACAUACACGGACCAAAAUUGUAGCAUGAACAUAAUUAGAUUAAAGCUUUUUCCUUUUUCAUUAAAAGAUAAAGCUAAAACUUGGCUACAAAACCUUAGAUCAGGAUCAGUAAAAACUUGGAAUAACAUGCAAGAACAGUUUUUGAAAAAAUUCUUUCCACCUCAUAGAACAAAUUCUUUUAAAAGGCAAAUCACUUCUUUCACUCAAAAAAAUGGAGAAACAUUAUACCAAUGUUGGGAUAGGUUUAAAGAGUUGCUUAAUAUAUGCCCACAUCAUGGUUUUAAAACUUGGCGAUUGGUCACUUACUUCUACGAGGGCUUAAUACCCCAAAGUAGACAGGUUGUUGAAAUGAUGUGUAAUAAUGAAUUUAAGGAUAAAAAUCCUGAAGAUGCACUAGAUUACCUUGACCAAUUAGCUGAAAAUGCACAACAUUGGGAUACUAUUAGAACUUUUGAAUUGACAAAUAAGCAACAAUCAUCUCCAUCUAGUGGAGGAAUCCAUAACCUUAGGGAAGAUCAUGAUUUACAAGCAAAAUUUGCAUCCCUAGUUAGGAAAGUUGAAGCUUUGGAGCAUAAAAAGAGUGAUCAAGUAAAAUAUGUUCAAGAAAUUGCAUGUAACAUAUGUAAUUCGAAUGAUCAUUUCACUCAAGAGUGUCCCACUUUGCCUGCACUUAAAAAAUGUCCAAAUGAUCAAGCUAAUGUCAGUAACACUUUCAAUAAACCAAACCCAUAUUCACAGACUUAUAAUCCUGGUUGGAGAAAUCAUCCGAAUUUCAGUUGGAGGAAUAAUAAUAAUGCAAAAACUUCACAAGCACCACCUCCACAAAAUUUUUAAGAAAAAUCUGGAAGACACAAUGCAUUCAUUCAUCAGAAAGCAAGAUGUUAUUAACAAUCAAAAUGCACAAACUUUUUCUGAUUUGAAAGAUACUCUUGCUAAAAUUGCUUCUGCACUCACCAUUCAAGAAAAAGGAAAAUUUUCAGCCCAACCACAACUAAAUCUUAAAAUUCAACAAAAUCCACCCACAGACCAAGUCAAGUCAGUUAUAACUCUUCGUAGUGGUAAGGUUGUUGAUAGACCUAUGCCUGGACCUUAUGAAAAUGAUGAAAAUUCAAAGGGUAAGGAAGGACUAAAUGAACUUACACCUAGUGAAGAAAUAAUUGGUGUUCCACCUGAACCACCAUUUCCGCAUGCAUUGAAUAAACCAAGGAAAUCAAACCACUCUUCUGAAAUUUAUGAAAUCUUUAAGCAAGUGAAAGUUAACAUUCCUCUAUUAGAUGCAAUCAAGCAGGUUCCUUCAUAUGCCAAAUUUUUAAAGGACUUGUGCACUGUUAAGAGGAAAUUGAAGGUAAGAAAGAGUGCUUUCAUGGCCGAACAGGUAAGUACAAUUCUGUCUACUAAUAAUAAGUUGAAAUAUAAAGAUCCUGGUUGUCUUACCAUUUCUUGUAUUAUUGGUAACCACAUAAUUGAGCAUGCUUUACUAGAUCUUGGUGCUAGUGUUAUUUUGCUUCCAUAUUCAGUUUAUCUUCAACUUAAUCUUGGUGAGUUAAAAUCAACUUCAACUAAACUUUUGCUUGCCGAUAGAUCAGUUAAAGUACCAAAAGGAAUAGUGGAAGAUGUUUUAGUACAAGUUGAUAAAUUUAUUUACCUUGUGGAUUUUAUUGUCUUGAAAACUGAACCUGUUGUGAAUAAUUACAAACCAAUUCCUGUAAUUUUAGGUCGACCAUUUUUAGCAACUGCUAAUACUUUGAUUAAUUGUAGAAAUGGUUUAAUGAAUUUAUCCUUUGGGAAUAUGACUUUGGAAUUGAAUGUUUUCAACAUGUGCAGGCAACCUAAUGAAGAAAAUGAGAAUGAAGAUGAUACUGAUGAACAAAAGGAAUUGUUUGAAUCUUGUAUCAAAGAAAAUAUUCAAAAAGGGGAUUUUUCUGAACUUUCUAAUGUUUGUUUAGUUAAUUCAAUUGAGUCAAAUAAGCAACUUAAACUUGAUAUUUUUAUUAUAAAUUCGUUGCUUGAUUUUGUGCAGACUUCACAAAAUUAUGAUGACGAGCCAAAAUUUGAGGAGCUUGGAAGUAUUGAAAAGACAGAACAACAAAAACCUUUGCCUGAAGGAUUGAAAUAUGCUUUUCUUGGAGAAGAACAAACUUAUCAUGUUGUGAUUUCGUCUACUUUAACAAGCGACCAAGAAGGUAAAUUACUAACUAUUCUUAAAAAGUAUAAAAAUUCAAUUGGAUAAACUUUAAAUGAUAUUAAAGGCAUUAAUCCCUUAAUAUGCACACAUAGAAUUAAUUUGGAAGAAAAUGCUAAAACAUGUCAACAACCUCAAAGAAGAUUAAACCCACACAUGAAAGAGAUAGUCAAAACAGACGUCCUUUAAUUGCUUGAUGUGGGAAUUAUCUACCCUAUUUCUGAUAGUAAGUGGGUAAGUCCUACACAAGUAGUGCCUAAAAAGUCUGGAAUCACUGUUGUUAAAAAUGAAAAAGGUGAAUUAAUUCCAACACGAAUUACAUCUAGUUGGCGCAUGUGCAUUGAUUAUAGAAAAUUAAAUGAAGCCACUAGAAAAUAUCAUUUUCCAUUACCAUUCCUUGACCAAAUCUUAGAAAGAGUAGCAGGACAUCCCUACUACUGUUUUUUAUAUGGAUAUUCGGGCUAUUAUCAAAUUCUUAUAGCACUUGAGGACUAAGAAAAGACCACAUUUACAUGUCCAUUUGGAAUAUUUGUAUUUAAAAGAAUGUCAUUCAGGCUUUGUAAUGCUCCUGCAACAUUUCAAAAAUGUAUGUUAAGCAUUUUUUGUGAUAUGGUUGAACAUUGUUUAAAGGUCUUUAUGGAUGAUUUGACUGUGUUUGGGAAUUCUUUUGAUGAUUGCCUUGAUAAUUUGGAGAAAGUUUUAAAAAGAUGUGUUGAAAAAGAACUCGUGUUGAAUUGGGAAAAAUGUCACUACAUGGUUACUUCUGGAAUUGUUUUGGGUCAUGUUGUUUCUAUUAAAGAAAUUGAAGUUAAGAAAGCAAAAAUCGAAGUCAUAUCUAAAUUGCCAAAACCAGAAACAGUUAGAGAUGUGCGAUUCUUUUUAGGACAUGCAGGAUUUUGUAGGAGGUUUAUAAAAAAACUUUAGUGCCAUAUCUAAACCACUUUGUAACCUCUUAUUAAAAGAUGCACCAUUUGAAUGGAAUGAUGAUUGCCAAAAAUCUUUUGAAAAAAUAAUUUAUCUUUUAACAUCUGCACCUAUUAUGCAAUCUCCCGAUUGGUCUUUGCCAUUUGAAUUAAUGUGUGAUGCAAGUGAUUUUGCUGUUGGUGCUGUUUUAGGACAAAGAAUGGAUGGUAAGCCUUUUGUGAUUUAUUAUGCGAGUAAGACUUUGGAUAGUGCUCAAAUGAAUUAUUCUACAACUGAAAAAGAAUUACUUGCUGUGGUAUUUGCAUUAAACAAAUUUCGUUCAUAUUUGCUUGGCUCUAAAUCUGUUGUGUUUACUGACCACACUGCUAUGAGAUAUUUGAUGAGUAAACAUGAUGCCAAACCGAGACUAAUUCGUUGGAUUUUGUUACUACAAGAAUUUAACCUUACCAUCAAAGAUAAAAAGGGUGCUGAAAAUGUUGUUGCUGAUCAUCUAUCAAGACUCACAUCCGAAUUCUGCAAUGAUAUAACACCCAUAAAUGAUUCUUUCCCUGAUGAAUUUUUAUUUUCUGUUACUUCAAUGCCAUGGUAUGCUAAUAUUGUUAAUUUUCUUGUUACAGGUAAAAUGCCUUUGCAAUGGAAUGCUCAAGAGAAGAAGAAAUUUUUUGUUGAAGUAAAGAAAUUUUAUUGGGAUGACCCUUAUUUGUUCAAAUAUUGUCCAGAUCAAAUUUUUCGGCGAUGUAUUCCUGAUAAUGAGGUAAGUAGUGUCAUUAAUUUUUGUCAUUCUGAAGCAUGUGGUGGUCACUUUUCUUCAAGAAAAACUACUGCUAAAAUUUUACAGUGUGGAUUUUAUUGGCCUACAAUGUUUAAAGACACAUAUGAAUUCUGCAAAAGUUGCGAAAAAUGUCAAAAAUUGGGAUCAAUUACAAAAAGAAACAUGAUGCCCUUAAAUCCCAUACUUGAAAUUGAAAUAUUUGACUGUUGGGGAAUUAAUUUCAUGGGUCCAUUUCCAUCAUCUUUUGGAUUUGUGUAUGUAUUAGUUGCAGUUGAUUAUGUCUCAAAAUGGAUUGAAGUAAUUUCUUGUCGAAAUAAUGAUAGUAAAACUGUGAUUAAAUUUUUAAGAGAAAACAUUUUAAGUCGAUUUGGAAUCCCUCGAGCUAUUAUCAGUGAUGGAGGUAAGCAUUUUUGUAAUAAGUCAUUUGAGUCUUUAAUGAAGAAAUAUGGAAUUACAUAUAAAAUUGCUACCCCUUAUCAUCCUCAAACAAAUGGUCAAGUUGAAUUAGCAAAUAGGGAGAUAAAACAAAUUUUGGAAAAAACGGUUAACCCAAACCGAAAAGAUUGGUCUCUUAGACUUAAUGAUGCACUUUGGGCUUACCGUACUGCAUUUAAAACAUCAUUAGGAAUGUCACCCUAUCGGUUAGUUUUUGGUAAACCUUGUCAUUUACCUGUUGAACUUGAACAUAAAUCACUUUGGGCUAUUAAAGCUUUUAAUUCAAAUUUGGAUGAUGCUGGUAAUGUGCGAAAAUUGCAAUUGAAUGAACUUGAGGAAUUAAGGAAUGAUGCAUAUGAAAAUUCAAGAAUUAUUAAGGCAAGAACAAAAGCAUUUCAUGAUAAAAGAUUUUUUCGAAAAACAUUUGAGAUUGGUCAAAAAGUGUUGCUUUAUAAUUAUCGUCUUCAUUUAUUUCCAGGGAAGUUAAAGUCAAAAUGGAGUGGCCCAUUUGUUGUAAAAAAUGUAUAUUCACAUGGGGUCAUAGAAAUUGAGAAUCCAAAGAAUGGUGUCACAUUUAAAGUUAAUGGUCAAAGAUUAAAAUCAUACCUGGAACAUCACAUAUGUGACGAGGAACAUCACCUAUGUGACGAGGACACCGAAAUUAAUUUGGGUGACCCACCUGUUCUUGAUUAAGUCUUUAAUGAUUUAUUUUAUUUUAUUUUUAUUUUUUUGUUUUACUAUUAUUUUACCGUUUCAUUGUUUGAUUUUUUUUCUUUUUCUCUAGAUUGAUGCACUGUACAUAGUUUUUUUUAACAUUUUUUUUCUUGUGUAAGCGUGUUUGUUUGACAGUUGUACAUUCUUUCAUCAAUUUUCAUUUUAAAUCAUGAGCACCUCAAUGAGAAAAUUCUUGUUUGCACAUCUUAAAAGAUUUAUGCGUGUAAAAUUUCACUUAAGAGGCUUGAUACAAGCUGUAAAUCACAUCCACUUUGGGAUCUGCAACCACCAAAAUUCGUGUCCUAUGUUGAGGAUCUAGAGGGACAACUCAGAACAGUAGAGAGUGGCAUAUAUGAAUUUCAAAUGGAGCUUGAGGUUAACUCAAUGAGAGGACGAAUGUAAGUUCAUUUUCCUUUUAUAUUGUGUGCUUCUUUUUGCUCGCUUUCACACUUGAUUUGAUUUUGCAGAUUUGAUUUUGGUGUGUUUUGAUUUAUUUUCCCGUAUAAAUGGCGGAUAAUGGUACUCCAUGACUUCUUAAGUCGGUAUCUUCAGUUUCCCACAAUAACUGAAACCCCAAAAUCAAACAUGGAAGAAAUACAACAUAAACUCCAUAAGCAUUUUCCCUGCCUCCCUCAGAAUGCCCUUAGGAAAAUUUACAAAGCUCGUUGUGAACGACUGCGUUUGUUAAUGAUCAAUGGCAUUCCUUCUGACAUUCGUUGGUUAAUUGAAGCAAAGGUCCGAUUAGUUGGUGAGUUUUCUGGUCCAUUUGUUUCUUACAUGCCUGGUUUUGGUAAAAGUACGUUUGCUAAAAAAAGGAGAGCUAAACGACUUGGCUCAAAAUGUCAUAAUUGUGUAAGACUUGGUUGCAAACGACCAGAUUGUAAAUCUUUAGGAAUGGUUUCUGAUACUCGUGAAGAUAAAAUUAAAUUUGUUAAAGAUGGCAUGAGUAAAGAAUCGUUGGAUGAUAUCUUACGAUCUCUUGAGACGCAUCGAAGCGGAUUUGUGCAACGUGAGAUUUAUAAUUUGUGGAUACUAUUCUAAAAACAAAGUGCACAGUUUAGUCUUGGGAAUCUGACUCAAAAAGACCCUGUUUGCCAGUUUAUAAGAAAACUGGAUGGGAAACCGAUCCUCGACCCAUAGAGGGCGUUCAAGCUGUUACUGGACGUAAAACCAGAGGAAGAUGUGAGCCACAAUCACAACUACCAGUAAAUAUCCUUUCACUUCACUGUUAUUUUACUUUACUGUUAUUUUAUCAUUUGCAUUAUUGCAUUUAGCGAUGUGAUUUGUAUUUAAUAAAUAUUUGGUUUCUUUUGCUGUUUGCUUUUUCUAUCAUUAUUUUCUUUUUACUGUUUGUUUUUGAAUUAUUGAGCCACGAGCUUUACUCGUCAUUUGACAAAUAUGCCAACCCAUUUACAGCUGUUUCUCAUUAUUUAUGUUACCAAUAUCUUUAAAUAUGAGGUCAUUUUUCAAACACUCACAACUUGUUUUUGAAAAAUUAGUCCAAUGGCAGCAUCUUCGAGUAAACAAUUCAUAAAUAUUUGUAUGCUUUCUGGGUUUCACUAUGGAAAGUACAAAGAGUUCGUUCAGGCAGCUGUAGAUCUUGGUCAUGUCAUAGCAGAGAGAAAACUGCAUCUUGUAUAUGGAGGAGGUGAACGAGGGUUAUCAAGACUUGUCUCAGAAGCCGUUUUUACUAGAGGAAGCCAAGUACUAGGCAUUAUUCCAAAAGCCAUGAAACCGCUAGUGUGCAUGUCUGGCCCACCAAUUGGAGAAGAAUUAGUGGUAUCAAGUAUGCAAGAGAGAAUAUCUGAAAUGAUGAAUCAUGCUGAUGCUUUUAUUUUCUUGCCAGGAGAUCUUGCAACUUUUGAGGCACUAAUUACAUUUGCAUCUUGGGCCCACUUAAACAUUCAUCAAAAACCCAUCGGUUUGUUAAAUGUUAAUAAUUUUUAUGACGGCUUGCUAACUUUUAUUAAGCAUGCAAUAAAGAAUCAUUUUGUUCCACAUUCUGUAAAAAAACUCUUUAUCUCUGCUUCUACUGCUAAUGAGUUACUUGAUCUUUUACAAACUUAUACACCAGAGCCAGAUCCAAAGACUUUUGUACUGAAUUGGUCGACUAAUUAUGGUAGUGGUAACAGUAGCAGUAAUAAGAAGUGCGAUUUAGAUUUAACUCUCCGUCUGUAAAUAUUUUCUGUUGUAGUGUUCAUGUGCUGUCUUCUAAACUCUUUCUCUUUCCUUUUAAAACAUUGAGGACAAUGUCUUUUUCAGGUUGGGGGGAGGGAAUAGUUGAUAAUUGUGGAAUGUCUUAGUCCUGGUGAUGUGUUUACAAAAAAAAAAAACAAACAAACAAACAAAAUUUUUUUUUUCUGUAAAGACUAACUUAGGACAAAUUUGAGUUGAAGAUGGCAGGAUAUAGAGAAUGUAGUACCUCUAGAAAUACAUCUUCUUAAUCUUAAGGGUGUUGUUAAAAAAAAUUUUGACUUUUUCUUCAUCUUUGUUAUCUGCUUUUGAGCUUCUGCAUCAAGUUCAGGUGAGAUCUCUUCUUCUUCUUCUUUUAUUAUUCUCUUUUAUUAUUAUUAUUAUUAUUUUUUUGCAUAUUUGUAAAAUUAUAAAAUGUUAAGAUAAUGUUUAGAUUAGGUUGUGGGGUGGGGAUAAUUGACGUAUAUUUUUAAAUAUGUGUGUUGUUUUUCUCUUUUCUCUUUUCUCUUUUCUUUUCUUUGUUAAAAAAAAAUAUUUUUGUUUUUUUGUCUAGGAUGGCCGUGUAAAGAGUCACGACUUUUGAGACGCAUCCUAAUAGUCUUGUUGUAUUAUAUUUUGAUUUUGAGAUUCAUAGUAAGUUGUUUUUGUUCCCUUUUCUUUGAAUUACACAAAUUUGUGAACUCUCCACUUGGUUAUUAAGUUAUUUAAUUGUUUACUCAUUUAACAGGUAUUAUUGAAUCAUUCUUCACACACACAUUAUGACACAUACUAGUGGGUUGUAAGUUAAAAUUUUAUAGCAUUUAGUUCUUUUUAUUUAUUAGGAAUAGUAUCUAAGGUAGUAGAAAGUGUAUAUUUCCAAAAACAAAAAACAAAAAAAGAAGAAAAAAAUGUUUUUAAUUUUGUUAUAUCUAGAAACCUGAGUAAUUAAGUCCGUAGGGGUGUUUCAACACCUAGUGCCCUAAGGUCAACUGGUCUGGGAGUCACUAGCCUAAAGCUCGCUACAAGGGUAAUAGAUAUAUUGUUUGUUUAUUAGAAACCCGAGUAAUUAAGUCUGUAGGGGUGCUUCAACACCUAGUGCCCUAAGACCAACUGGUCUGGGAGUCACUGACCUAAAGUUCACUACACGGGUUAGAAAUGUAAUAUUUAAAAAUAUAUAUAUGUGUGAAUAAUCUAUUGCCUAAAGAUAUAAUUUCUAAUGAAUUUUGGAACGAAAAUGUUGGUUUUUCUUUUAAUGAAGCCCCAUAAGUAUUGUGUUAAUUACUUGAGCACAAAAGAAGGUUUGAUGAUAUUCUGGAUAAUGAGUGAACAUCAAUGUGAUAAAGGAAUUUGGGAGAGUUCAUUUAUUUGGUAAUUUAGAGGAUAGAUGAACAACUAUUAACUUGCAUGUGAAUUUUAUAAAUCUUAAUUUAAUAUAACACUUUAAUUGCUAGAGGGCUAGCAAUAAGCUGGUUGGGGGGUGUGAUUAGUAUUAAAAAUUAUUUAAUUAUCAAGCGAUAAUAUGUUAUUUUAUGCUUAUGUUAUAAUUUAUAUUUGUGUUUAUGUAAUAUAUUAUGAAUUAUUAAUUAUGUUUUCAAUAUAUUUAAUUUUGUGUAUUUUUAUGUGUUUAUUAGGAAAAAUAUUAAUUUCACGUACUUCGAGGCUCCAAACAAAUAAACGGAGGUCAAAUUUGAAUUCCGGAGGUCCGAAAAGCUUAAGAUCAAUCAAGAUCGGCUUAAAAUUGGGCUUGUGUAAAAAAAAAUUGACUUUUCCUGUUGACUGAGCACUGAUUGGAUGAUGAAAUGAGCUUACAAUAGAUAUGAGUGCAUGGGAUAGCUGGCAAUCUUGACUAAAUCUCAACUGUUCAUGAUUCAAUGGCCAUUAUUGUGCCACGUGGCAAUGGUUGGUAAAGCAAGUUGGAGGAUCCGAAUCUUUGUAUUUGGGUCGACCCGAUCCACCCAUUAACCCGCCAAAUCUCAACCGUUCUUUGGGCAAAUCGGACGAGUCAAACGAUGCCACGUGUGAUGUUGACUUUCAAAGUUUGACCAGCCAUUGGAUCUUGAUCUAAAGGUUGUGAGGAGCAUAUGCAUGAAGCCUAUGAUGGACCGCAAAGCACUGGAUUAUGAAUUUAUUUUUCUAUAAAUAGAGCCUCAUUUUUAUGUUUUAAUCAUCUCUCUACAACUCUCUUCUUCUCAAAUUCUCUCCAUCUCCUUGUAAUCUUGAUUUCCAGGUGUGUUUUUAAUAUUUUGUAUAAUUAUUUUUAUAAAUAAAAUUAGUUUUAUUUCCAAUUUUAGUUGUUUUUAUUACUUUUAAUUAUAAGUAAUUCAAUUUUACUACUUCUUUUUAUUUUAAUUAUGCUUAACUAAAUAAUAUUAGUUAGGGGAAGGUGAAACUCUUAGGAAAUAAAUAUGAUUUAAUCAAAUUCUAUUUUUAAUUUUAUAAAUUAAAUUAUUUUCUAUUUAAUUUUAUACAUGUUUUAUAUUUUGAAAUUUUGAUUUAUUGUAGACAAACAAAUGAAUUUGGCACAAUAAAUUCUUAAGAUCUUAUUAUAAGGCAUGGUGAAAUGGUAUUUUGACUUAUUGUAGACAAAUUAAAUUUUGGCACAAUAAAUACUUAAUCCAUCAUAAAAUUAAAGGGAAAAUAAUAAUAAUUUGUAUAAUUAAUCUUUUGGGUAAUAAAUCUAAAAAAAAUUGGCAAAAAGAAUUUAUUAAGUUUUAUUUACUUCUAAGAGUGGAUCCAUAACCCUAACUAGUUCAAUUCCAUAGUUUUAUUUAAAUUAAGUUGUUUAUAUUCAAGUUUUAAUUUCAAUUUUUAGAUAAAAUAAAAUAAACAGAUUAAAUCUUUUCUCUGUGGAUCGACCUCGGACUCACCGAAUUAUAAUACAACAAGACACUCUUAUACUUGGGAGUUAAAUAUUACUUUUAAGUUGUUUCACUUGAUGAUGCACUUUGGGCAUAUAGGACCGCAUACAAAACUCCUAUCGGUAUGUCACCCUACAGGUUGGUAUAUGGUAAGCCUUGUCAUCUUCUUCCAGUGGAACUUGAACAUAAAGCAUGGUGGGCUGUGAAACAAUGUAACAUGGAACUGGACACCACCGGCCAACACAGAAAGCUCCAAUCGCAAGAAUUAGAGGAAAUUCGAAAUGAUGCCUAUGAGAGUUCAUGAAUCUAUAAGGAAAAGACUAAGGUUUUUCAUGAUAAGCAAAUCUUGAGAAAGAAUUUUAAAGUUGGACAGAAAGUUUUGCUAUUCCAUUCUCACCUUAAGUUGUUUCCAGGUAAGUUAGGUUCUCGAUGGGUUGGGCCUUUUGUUGUUAUUAAUGUUUUUCAUCAUGGUGCAGUUGAGAUCAGGAGCUUAAAGACAGGUAAAGAGUUCAAAGUUAAUGGUCAUAGGUUGAAGCCUUACUAUGAAAAUUUUCAAACACUCUAUGUAGAGGAGGCUCCACUUUAUGAACCUGCCUACGUUGAUAAGUGAAACUUGAGAACCAUGUCAGGCUGAGGACAAUAAACCAAGCGCUUAUUGGGAGGAAACCCAAUGGCUGGAGAAAAGAUUUUGAGAGCACGCCAUAACAGAUUUGAUCUUUCUCCCUCUCAUUCUCAUUUACUUUACCUACGUUGUGUUGAAUUUUGUUUGUUUUUGUUUGUGUGUCUCAUCUCAUUUCCCCAUGUUUGAUUCUGUCUUUUGUUAGCUUAGGCUUACAUUGAGGACAAUGUAAGAAUUAAGUGUGGGGGGUGGAUUUCGAACUUAGUUUUUGUUGCUUCGUCUUUUUCUUUUAAAAAAAAACAUUGUUUUGAAUAUUAGCCAGUGAUAAGAAUUUGAUUGACAAUGAAUAUGGUUCUUAGAAAGGGUUGAAUAUUACCUUAGUUUAUACUUGAUUCUUGUGUUGAUUUCCUCUUAAUUGAGAUUCUUUAAACCAUGAGCACUAAUAUCAAUUCUUUCAUAAUUUUGACUUAGAAUUUGAGAUUGACGCAGUCUGAGUUGAGAAUUUUAGAUUGAGUAAAUGAUUAUUUGUCUUGAUUCUUAUCUCCACAAUACAAUGUAGUAUACACAGGCACCAUAGUCAAAAAUAGCUACCUAUAACCCUUAAGAGUGAAGCUAUCCUUGAGUAAUUUGGGCCUAUGUACCACCAAUAUGUAGAGGAUAAUCUACCAUGAGAAGAAGGCUACCUUAAGGGGUAGAGUGAAAGCUCCUAACUAAAAAAAAAAUUAAAAAAAAUUAAAAAUAAAAAAAGAACUUCAAAGAAAAUGCACACAAAUGCCUGUAAAAGAAGAAAAAAAAAAUUGGAGAUCAAGAUGAUAAGAUUAGUUUGACCUACUCUUUUCUUUGUUCGAGGCAAAGGCUGUUGACAUUGAAGAUUUUGGGAAUGAAUUUUAAUUUAAUUGAUUCACACACACACUAUGAGAAUCAAAAGAGAGAUAGGAUUGACUAUUGAAUUAAAGUUAGAACUUUGAUAAUAUUUGAAAUUUUCUUUGAACUAUAUGACUUAUACAAUCUUUGAGGCUAUUUUUAUUCUAAAUUCUUUUGUUCUUUGUUCUAAAAAAAAAAUUGUAAUGAUGUUUGUGGGUAUCAUCGCUGAAGCCCUCACGAGACUAUAACUCGUCCACUAGGGCCGCCUAGGGGUUUAAAAGCUUGUUGCAUACGCUAAAUGCAAUCGUGAUUUCCUACGAAAGUGGACCAGUUUAGGUUUUCUUUUUAUUUUUGUUCUAGGUUUGCUCGAGGACGAGCAAAGAGUAAGUGUGGGGGAAUUUGAUAAGUGUAUAUUUUUCAUAUAUUUUUGAUUAAUUUCUCUGUCUUUUUCUUGUUUUGAUCUUAAAUAUUCUAGUUAUUUUAGUUAAAUUUUAAUUGAAUAGGGAAUUAAUUAAUAUACAUAUUUUACCCUUUUAUUAUAUAUUUACUAGUUAUUUUUAUUUCUUAUUUUUAAUUAAUUGUAUUAUUUUAUUGAAUAGAGAAUUAAUUGGAGAUUGUGGAUAAAAAAGGCAUGAAGAAAUUCAAAUUCAGAGGGAAUAAAGAUUAAAUUGGAAGACAAAAAUACAGUCAAGAAUUGAUAGAACCGAGUGGAAGAAAUCAAAGCAAUUAAUCCAAUUGAGAAAUGUUGAAUAAUUAAAAGAUUUAAUUUUUCCAAUUGGCAAUUGGAGUGCACGUGCAUGGCAUUGCAAAAGUGGAAAGCAAUUUAAUCGGGCCCGCAAUUGACUUUCAAAAGUUAGAAUUAAUGGCUUUUGGUGGCAUUAAAUUGGAAAAGGAUUUCAAUUAGAAUUGAAAAAGGAUUUCUUUAUUCUUGUUGGAGAAGAAUUCGGUCAACUAGCAUUAUAAAAGGGGAGCUGCUGGAUGGAAACGGAGGAGGGCAGAUGCAAUUCGGCAGCAAGAGGAAAAUCAAUAGCCGCAAGAAGAAGAAAAAAUCAGCAGCUAGAAUUCAAUUGAAGAAAAAGGCAGCCACUUGAAUUAAUCUCCAUGAUUGGUUUUGUCAAUUCUCUUAUUCCCAAAUCAAUUAUGUUAUGCUAGAUUUUUAUUUAGUUGAGGGUGAAUUCAAAACCCUAAACAUGCUAUGCAAUUAAAUUUAAAUUCUAUCAUUCAAUUUAUUUAAUUGAGAUUGUUUAUGUUCUUCUAUAAUUAAUGUUCAUGGUUUAUUCUUGUUUUAUUUGAGUGGCCAAUUAGAUAGGACUUGAAUAAAUUUUAUUACUAGAUUAAAAUUCUUGAUCCGUAAUUGUCUUGAUAUUUUAAUCAUUAGUAGCAGGUUGGAAUCAGUGAUUUUGAUUGAAGAACAUAACUUAGGUUAAAUAAUCCGAGCUUGUGUGUUUAUUGCCUAAAUCAACCUAAUAUCUUUCUUUGUUUAAUGCUUCCAUUAUCUUAAAUUUAAAGAGCUUGUUUUAAAUUAUUUAAUGGUUAGAGAUUAGGUGAAGAGCUUGUUUUGCCUAACAACACACUAAGGAAAGAUUGAGACUAACAGAGCUUAUUGUUGUCUACGGUUGAUAGUUUCAAUAUAAAUUGAUAAUAGAAUUGAUAUAUUAUGUGCAUGUUUGGUGGUGGCAAAUGAUCCUUUAACCAAAGUUUUCAUCAUUAUUAUUUCUUUCUCCUUUAAUUAGAGUUUUUUUAUUAAAUUCUUGUUCGUAGUUUUAAUUUCUUUACUUCUUACUAUUUAGUUAAAAAUUCAUAAACCCCCUUUUUAUUUAUAAUUGGCAUUUUCUUUAGUUAGAUUAAUUUAUAUUAUUAUUACUCUUAUUAUUACUACUAUUAUUUUAUUUCAAAUAUUGCUUUAGAAUUAAUAAUAAAUAUAACUAGCAUAGUCUCUGUGGGAUCGAUCCUUACUCGCUCUGUACUAAUUAUUUAUAUUAUUGGUAAGGUUUUAAAUUUGGUGCACCUUAACGACACUACCAGUGAAACUGAUAUCCCAAUGCUGGUGGUAUAUGAACGCCUGCCAGACUUUUGUUAUUGCUGGGGAAUUAUUGAACAUCAAUACAAGGAGUGUGGCAAGUAUAAAGACCAACAAAGAGAAGAUCUACCAUAUGGGAGUUGGAUGAAAGCAAUUACGGUAGGGGGGUUUACAAAGAGGAAUCGGAACAAGGAAAGGUGGAACUAUGGGGUUGUUAAAUCGGAUGAAAAAUCAGUAAGCUCAGAAAAUCACAGCUCCCCGCAACAGCAAAGGCAAAACCAAGAUAAUCUGAUAGGGGCAAACCAAGGAGCAUGCCAAGAAGGAUGUGAUAUGAGGAGUAGCUGAGCAACAAUUAAUGCGAGAAGUGAUACAGUCAGAGAAAAAAAAAGCAAACUGACGGCAACAAGCAAGCUGGGGAAACUGGCAAUGUAACAGUCCCUAGGAAAAUGGGCACACAAACGGGAAAUGGAAUUACAAAAGAGAGGGAAAAAAUGCAAAUAAGUCAUGAAGAGGAAGCUGAAAUAGACGAUGGGCCGGAAGUAUCUCAACUACAGCCCAACAAGAGGAAAUGGAAGAAAUUAACUAGAGAUCUAAGUGAAGGGGGGGAAAAAUUGAGUUACGAGCUCGAAAAAGGCCAAGGGUGAAAAGCUUUGGGCAAAGCCCAAGGAAAAAAACAAAGUUGUCUAGCCCCAAUAAGCUCGAGACUAAAAAUCUGGUGCAUGUCUCUCCAACAGCAAGACUCUAGCUGGGUUGGGAACCGUUGGUACUGGAAGAAGCGGUAGUCAUGGAAGCAAACAAUAUGGAGAUAUCGGCGGAGGCUGGUGGUCAGCCCUGUCGAAAGCUAUGAAUAUUCUCAGCUGGAAUGUUCGGGGUUUAGGGAAUCCUCGAGCAUUUCAAGCCUUAAGGAAAAUCCUCCAAUUGCAUGGUGCUCAGCUGGUGUUUUUUUCUGAAACAAAGGUAUCAACCAUGCAAAUGAAUGUGAUUGCAAAUAAAAUGAGUUUUAAGAAUUGCUUUGCGGUGAACUGUAAUUGAAGAGGAGGAGGAAUAGCAAUGCUCUGGAAGUCAGAUACUGGGGUGCAAAUCAAUUCAUACAACCAGCACCAUAUUGAUGCCGAAACUCAAAUGCCAAAUGGAAAGCGAAUGUGAGUUACAGGAGUGUACGGACAUCUAGAAACAAGACAGAAAAAACACACUUUGAUGCUCCUCAGGCGGCUGGCGGGUUUAUCUUCUAGCCCUUGGUUGUGUUGUGGAGAUUUUAAUAAAAUUUUACAUCCGGAUGAGAAAAGUGGUGGCAACGACAGGAACGUGAAUUUAAUCAAUGAUUUUAGAGAAGUUUUGAGAGAUUGUGGCUUAAAGGAUUUAGGGUAUCAGGGGUACGCUUUUACUUGGAAUAAUGGAAGAUAUGGGCAGGGAUUUGUGGAAAAAAGGUUGGAUAGAUUUGUUUGCAAUAAAGCUUGGAGUGAUAGAUUUGUGGACUGUGAAGCAAGCAACCUUGACACCUGGACUUCGGAUCAUUGUCCCGUGCUGAUGGCUGUUCAAGAGAGAAGUGGGGGCAUGAACCUUAGUGGUAAACAUUCCUUCUAUAAUCCAUUACGAGGAUAUGUGGAACCCGUAUGGCUUGUGCAAAGAGAUAAUCAAGGAGGAAUAGAGCUUGUAUAGCAAUUAGAACAGUGAAAAUCUAGUUCAAUCCUUUCGGAAAGCAACAAAAGAUUCGAUGGUUAGACUGAUGGUGUGGAGCAAAAUGGAGUUUAAAAAGUGGGACAAAAAAUUGGAGAAGUUAAAGAAUCAGCUGCGGGGGUUAAAACAAAGAAGAGUGCAAUAUGAAAAUGGUGAGGAAAUUUAGAAGGUGGAGAAGCAAAUCCAAAAUAUCCUCAUGGAUGAAGAAAUCUACUGGAAGCAGCGUUCAAGAGCAUAUUGGCUCAAGGAAUGGGACAAAAACACAAAAUUCUUUCAUGGCAAGGCUUCGGCUAAAAGGAAAAAAAAUAGAAUUUGGGGGAUUGAAGAUAAAUUCAGGAGAUGGAUUGAGAAGCCAAAAGAAGUGGAGCAUGAAUUUUGUAAUUAUUUCACCAACCUUUUUACAUCAACCCAGCCGAGACAAGAACAAAUUGCAGCAGCCUUGAAAGAAGUAACUCCGAGAGUUUCUGCCAGCAUGAAUGAGAGUUUGGAGGAACCGUUUACAGCCGAGGAAGUCUUGGAAGAUUUGAGUCAAAUGUGUCCAACGAAGGCUCCGGGACUGGAUGGUUUGCCAGCAGUGUUUUACCAAAAGCAUUGGCAUACGGUUAAGGAGGGAGUGCUCACCACUUGUCUGCAUAUCCUCAAUUCACAAGGUACCAUAGCCCCUCUAAAUCACACUUACAUUGCUUUGAUACCAAAAAUCGGGAAGCCUAGGAAAGUAACAAACUUCAGGCCUAUUAGUUUGUGCAAUGUUAUCUAUAGAAUUGUAGCUAAGUCAGUAGCCAAUAGAUUUAAACAAAUUUUGCACAAAAUCAUCUCUCCGUCGCAAAGUGCCUUCAUCCUCAAUAAGUUGAUCACUGGAAACAUCAUAGUUGGCUACGAAUGUUUGCACAAGAUAAGACAUUGUAAAGGAAAGCGAAAUGGUUUAAUUGCAUUAAAGCUUGAUGUUAGUAAAGCCUAUGAUAGAUUGGAAUGGAAUUUCCUUGAGCAAACUUUGAAACACAUAGGCUUCUCGCAUCAAUGGACUAGCUUGAUCAUGAGGUGCAUUAGUUCAGUCUCCUUCUCUGUUUUAAUAAAUGGCUUAGUGAAAGGCUUAAUUAAACCCCAAAGGAGCUUAAGACAAGGUUGCCCCCUAUCUCCGUAUUUGUUUAUUACAUGUGCAGAGGCUUUUUCUUCCUUGCUGCAGCAGGAUGAGCAACAACGGCUUAUCCACAGGCUAUCAUUUGGAAAAGAUUUGAAGAUUUCACACCUUUUAUUUGCUGAUGACAGCCUUGUCUUCAGCAGAGCUUCCAUGGCCGACUGUCGAAAUCUGAAGAUGAUCCUUGAGUGCCACUCCACAGCUUCCGGAAAAAUCUUUAAUUUCAAGCAAUCUUCUCUUUUUCUUAGUGGCAAUGUCCAGCAAGAUCAAGCUGCUACAAUUGGGAAUAUCUUUCAGUUCAAUAUUGUGUCGAGACAUGAAAAAUAUUUAGGCUUGCCGUCUAUGAUCGGGAGAAAGAGAAGUAGCUUCUUCAAUGACAUCAAGUUGAAGAUUUUCAACAAGAUUUCAAGCUGGCAGCAUAAAUUCUUUUAUUGUGGAGGGAAAUAAGUCUUAAUCAAAGCUGCUGUGCAAGCCAUCCCAGCCUAUGCAAUGAGCGUAUUUAAAAUUCCAAUGGGAGUUUGUGACUAUAUUCAAAGAAUGGUGGCAAAGUUCUGGUGGGGUUCCAAGAGGGAGAGGAGGAAUAUUCAUUGGGCAAAGUGGGAGAAGAUGAGUCAGGCCAAGUGUAAUGGAGGAAUGCGAUUUCAUGAUUUUUCAAGCUUCAACCAAGUCCUUCUAGCGAAGCAAGGCUGGAGGAUUCAGCAAUGUCCAAACUCGUUGGUGGCAAGGGUCCUGCAAGCCAAGUAUUUCCAGUCCAAAAAAUUUUUGGAUGUGAAGCUCGGCUCAAAUCCUUCAUAUAUUUGGAGAAGCAUUCUGUGGGGAAGACAAAUUAUUUGCUCGGGCUCUAGGUGGAGAGUUGGUAAUGGUAAGAAAAUUCAGAUUCACAAGACCAAUUGGAUUCCAAAGCCUUUAACUUUCAAGCUAGUGGUUAAGCCAACUUUGCCAUCUGAUACUAUGGUUUUUGAAUUAAUCAAUGAGGCAAACUGCUGGGAUGAGAAGAUGAUUCACGAGCAUUUCGACAAGAUGGAUGCUGAUUUAAUUACUAAGAUUCCUCUACCUAGAAGACUAAGGGAGGAUGAGCUUAUUUGGCAUUAUGGAAAGAAUGGCCAGUUCUCGGUUAAAAGUGGGUACCAGACAGCUCUCCAAAUAAAGUUUCCAGCCAUGCCUUCAAGCUCAGUGGCUUCAAAGAAUGAAUGUAAUAUUAUUUGGUCUCUUGCUUUGCCUCAAAAGAUCAGGAUUUUUGCCUGGAGGGCAGCCAAAAACCUCCUCCCCUCAGCUGAGAAUUUGUGGAAGAAAAAGAUAAUCCAGGAACCUAAUUGCCAAGUGUGUAAAAUGGGGAUGGAAAAUGUAUUUCAUGCUCUAGUGGCCUGCAAAUCGGCCAAGAAGGUGGGGAGGCUCAUCUAGUUUGAUGAUGAUAUUAAUGCAGCUUAUAGUCAAGAUAUUUUAAGUCUGCUGCAUGCCAUGAAAAGGAUGAGAAGUACGCUCCAAGGAUUGCAGACCUGGAUUGGCUCAACAACCAAAAAUAGUAUGACAGUCCUGAAAAAACAUAAAUAAAUUAAAAAGAAACUGCAUUAGUCUUAAUCGUCUCGAUGCAAUUCAGCCACGUAUUAAAAAAUUGUAAUACAAAUUCAACAAUCUCACAAAUUUCGUUCAAGAUUAUGAUGAAUAUAUUUAUCGAAUUUUUUUUUUUCAUGUUUGCGUCACUGCGAAAUAUAGACGCGUGAAACACGCCUACUCCACAACCCAUGCAAAAUCAUAUAUAUAUUGAUGAAAUUUCCUACUCUAGUUCCCUGUACACAGAAGGAUUCCUAGUGAGGUUUCGUAAGCUAUAUGGGUGUUAUUCCUAUUACGAACAGGAAACUCGAGUUCACAAGGAACUGAGAUUUCCUAUUUAGUUUACUUCUAUAAAUACAUAGCAGUAGCAAGAGACAGAUUGCUUAUAUAAAAAUAAAAAUUAGUUUCUGUCUUUAAACUCCCCAAACAAAUCCAUGAAGAGAAUCUUUCUGAUUGCGCUUUUUACUUUGUUGCUUUCUUCAUCUUCUUCAUUCGCUCAAACAACUCAAACAUGUACCAAUUACCGUUUCACCACCCACAACAACAAAUACGGUGCAUGCGUUGAUUUGCAAGCUUUAAAUUCUUUUGUCCACUGGAGCUAUGACGAAGCAACCGGCUCUGUCGACUUGGCCUAUCGUCAUGUAGGCAUGCAACCAACCAGAUGGAUUGCGUGGGCAAUAAACCCUACCGGUAAAGGCAUGGUCGGCUCUCAAUCUCUUGUAGCCUACCGUAACCCUAACGGAAUCUUGAAGGCAUACACAUCGCCGGUGAUGAGUUAUGGCACCAAAUUACAAGAGGGAAACUUGAGCUUUCAGGUUCCCAAGAUUUCAGCAGACUUUUCCAAUAACGAGAUGAUAAUAUACGCAACGAUAGUGCUUCCAAAGAACAUGACCACAGUGAGCCACGUGUGGCAAGAAGGUCCUGUACGUAGUGACAAUCACCUCGGCAUGCAUUCUCUAGGAGGCGACAAUGUCAAAUCAAUGGGUACUUUGGAUCUUCUUUCCGGGAAAGUUACGACUACCAAAGGAGGAACCUCGGGUACUCUUCAUUUCAAGCAGGUUCAUGGAAUCAUAAACGCGGCUAGUUGGGGCUUCUUGAUGCCAGUGGGUGCUAUUACUGCCAGGUACAUGAA
Molecule: long non-coding RNA, 71852 nt
Filed under: Citrus x clementina
Lineage: Eukaryota; Viridiplantae; Streptophyta; Magnoliopsida; Sapindales; Rutaceae
Source: RNAcentral